AUUAGCAUGCCACCACUUAUUGACCGAACCCUUCUUAGAGCAAGAGUGCCACCAACCCCUAGAUUUCAUCAUCUCGAAUAUGACCCACCUCCUUCCUUAAACACCUCUACGUCACUUGGCCAUAAUAAUCAUAAACCCUCAAUCGUAUCUGUUUUCAAAAUCACACAAAAUCAACUCAAUACCCUAAAAGCCAAGUCAUGGGAACAUGGAAACAAAACCAAUUACAGCACAUUCACCAUUCUAGCUGCAUACAUAUGGCGUUGUGCAACUAAAGCUCGGGGCCUCUCAUAUGACCAACCAACCAAGUUAAACAUGCCAAUUAAUGGACGUCCCAGACUACAUCCUCCCCUCCCAUCAACGUACGUGGGCAAUGCAGUGUUUGCGGCUUCAUUAAUUGCUCUAUCUGGAAAUCUCCAAUCAGAAUCGUUUGUAAAUACCCUUGAACGAGUUUAUGGAACAUUGAAAAGGAUGAAUAAUGAGUAUCUAAGAUCAGCUCUUGACUACCUAGAAACACUGCCAGAUAUAACAGCUGUCAGGAGAAAACCAGACACUUACCAGUGCCCAAACCUAAAUAUCAACAAAUGGACACGACUGUCUAUAUAUGAUGCAGAUUUUGGAUGGGGUCGACCAAUAUACAUGGGUCCAGCAAACGUUGUCCAUGAAGGAAAAAUAUACAUACUAUCAAGUCCAACCGAUGAUGGGAGCUUGUCACUGGUAGCAUGCCUACAGACUGCUCAUAUGAAACUCUUCGAGAAACAUCUAUACGAAGGCUUAAAGUCAUUUGACAAGAUCAAAGCUCGAUAUUAGUUGUUUGUUCUCUCUAUCAAUAUAUGUAUAAGCCUAUAAAUCUUCUACUUCUGUUUCUUUAACUAAAACUUUGUUUGAAUCCUGUUCAUUUGAAAUUUAACAUCUAAGCUGCCCUGGCUGACGGGUUUUUUAUUGGUAAUUGUUAUACUCGGUAAUAGUGUAGUAGGAUUGACCACAAAGUAAUAGCAAAGAAAAAUAAAAAUAUAUAGAUUUUGCGUGAAAAACUCUUAUCGGGAAAAAAAUCAUAGAGGAGAAGAAUUUCACUAAUGUUAAAAAACAAUAAUGCAAGAGAUUUUUUUUACUACACAUUUUAAUGAUUAAACAACGUUUUCAUAAUCAACAUCUAAAAGAAGAUCGCCCCCACAUAUCCCCAAAUUUUGUGUUUCUAUUUUAUUUCUUUAACAAGUGAGUUACACAUCGAACUUUUCUGAUCGGAUCAAACAUAAUUCAGAUCAUAAAACUCUAACAAUAAUCCAAGCAGAGAAGGAGCAGGAGCUAUAAUACGGAAUGAUUAGAGGGCCUGGGUAUUCAUAAUUUUAACUUUAACCUUCUGUGGUUGAUAUAUUGACAAGCUAGAGUCUUGAGAAGAAAAACAACUUAUAACAAAUGAACCCAAAAAACGAUGUCAAUUCCAAACAGCAUCAUUUGCUAUUCUUUUUACUGUUCAGAGGUAAACAAUGGAGGAUGGAGAAAUUAGUGCUAUAUUAAUACAAAUUGAGCAAGAAGAAAACCAACACUCAUACAAGUAGACAUAAAUAUAUGAUUCAUAACAUUUUUAACACGAAAAAUAGAUAAGGAUUGUAUGAAACAGAGACGCCACAUCAUAUUAUAUCUUUUAUCAAUUAUUUAAUGUCAUUUCACUAUCUUUUUUUUCAGGUCAUUAACACAUAAUUUUGAUAAUUUUUAUAACUUAAACCUUAGACAUUGGACCAUGAACUCUAGACUCUAAAACCCUUUACUUUGAACAUUGAAUUUUGAACCCUCCCUGAACAUUAGACCCUAGACCCUAGACCUUAAAUCCUAACCUUUGUCCUAUACCCUGAACUUUGGAUCCUGUAUCUUGAACCCUAGGUUCAGGGUCCAGGGUUUGAAGUCCAAGAUGUAGGAUUCAAGAUCUAAAGUCCAGAGUCUAGAGUUUAGGGUCUAAGUUAAAAAAAAUUAUUAAUAUUUUGUGUCAAUGACAUAAAAAUGCUCAAAUAAAAUUAAAUAAUUUGUAAGUGAUACAUGAUGACGUGGCGUCUCUGUUUCAUACAAUCAUUUCUCAUUAUCAAAAUAUUAAAUUUUAGUUUAUUUUCGAUACUUUGUCUAACAUGAUUUUAGUCUAUAUACUUUAAUUUUGAGACACCGAGUCCUUAUAUUAUUUUGUUUAAAAAUCUUAAUCAUUCGUCUAAUUUUGAACUUAUAAAAAGAUAGAAUAGUUGAUAAUGCACUUAAUUGACAUAUUUUUUAUUAUUUUAUUUAAUUAAUUUUGGACAUGUAUUUUAUCUAAUUUAAGACUUAAUUGAUCAAUUUCUAUUUUGGUACAAUUGUUAUCCAAUGUGUCGAGAAAUGUGAGGAUACUUGAAUUGCAUAAAAGAUUUAACAUGAGAACUUGAAUUGAGGCGUGAAGGAAGGGGAGGCGCAUUAGUGCACACUAGAUCUGAUUAUAGGCAAGUUAUCCAUCCAGGCCUAAAGAUCCGAUUGGAAAGUAAGAGGGUUUAAAUAAAAAUAUAGACUCGAAAAAUAACUUUGAAAAAAAAAUGGCUUGUUUUCUCAAAAAAUCAACUUAGACAAAAAAAAGUAGAGAUUCGUUUAGAGUUUUUUGGCCCUGCCCGACCCGAUUACAUGCAUAAGGUAUCGAUACCUCGUAGUAAGUUUCGAUACCCUCCCCAAGGUAUCAAUACCUCGUAGCAAAGAAUCGAUACUAUAGACUUUAAUACGGACCAAGUCGAUUUGGGCCUGACUUUAACAUCUAUAACAUGAGUUGGGCUUGGAUAAAAAAUUAAGCCCAUUUUUGGGCCAGACUGAGCCCGAACCUAUCAACAAUUAAUUUAUUUUUGAAAAAACAAUAAAUAUAUAUAAUAUUCUUUAUUUAAAAAAAAUAAUUGAUGAUGUGACAUAUACAUGGACUGCCAUAUGGAUACCACAUCAGCAAAGUUAACAGACGCUAAUUUUUUUGUCGUCUAUUUUGAUAUGAUUUGACAAAUAAUAUAAGUUGAAGAGUUGGAAGAUAUAAAAUUUUAAAUGAGUAGCUAAAAUAAUUGUUUUUAUAAAAUUGGAGGACCAACUAAAUCCUUACACCUUCAUAUUAUGUAAGUAUUUACAUAAUUAUUAUAUGCAAAGGCUUCAUGACCCAUUGGGUUUUGAUAAUUAUUUAGUCAGAUUUCAAUUUAGAAUUUUUAAUCUUUUGUAUGAUUUGGUUUAGCUUAUUUUACUCUUUAAAAAUAAUAAAAUAUAUAAAAAUAAAUUUACAUUAAUAAUAAAAAAAUUAUUAUAACUAGUCAAGUUAAACUUGUGUUUGAGUUUAAUUUUUUUUAUAAUCGAAACUAUAGCAAGCCUAAUAAUGAAUUACUCAAAUUAUUUGUCCAUAAUCAUAUUAAAAUAAUAUCGGAUAAUUGAAAUAUAUUAAAAAAUUUAAAUUAAAUUAAGGGUCUGUUUGAUUGACGGAAUUGAUUUUUCGGAAAAUCAUUUCUAACUUUUCCAGCGUUUGAUUGGCGGAAAAUAUUUUCCAUUUGGAAAAUGAACUCCAAAACAAGGGAAAAUGGGUUACAUUUUAGGGAAAAUGUCUUACCCUUUCAAUUUCCGUAAGACAUUUUCCGUGCUCUCCUCUCUAUCGCCUCCUUCAUUCCUUCCUUCAUUUCCGGUAGAAAACUGCUUUUGUUUAUCGAUUUUCCAGUAACUUGUUUUUUUAAUUAUUCAAUACUUGUUUUUUAACACAAUUACAAAUAAUUUAUUUGAUAUUAGUUUUUUUCAAUUUAUAACGAUUAAUAUUGUAGCUUAAUAAUUGAGUAUUAUUAUAAAUAAAUCAUUGCAAUAUAUGUAAAAAUAAUUUAAAAUAUAAAAAUUUAUUAAUAUAUAUUAAUAUAUGUAAAAACAACUUUUCCGAAAAAUAUUUUCAAAAAAUCUGCCAAGCAGCAGAAAAUAUUUUACACAGAUUCAAUCAAACACCAGAAAAUAUUUUCCAGUAAAUCAUUUUACAGAAAAGUAAAAUAUUUUUCAGAAAUAAUUUUACGGAAAAUAUUUUACUGGCAAUCAAACAGACCCUAAGUUUGGAUCAAACUCACUUAUGGUAUAUGAUUUAGCUAAAGUGAAAUAAAAACUCGAAAAUACAAAAUUUAUGGGUAAAUUUCGGUUUAUGUCACUUAAUUAAAAAAAUUGUAAUUUGGUUAUUGAAUUAUCUAAAAGUUUUCUUUUAAGUCAUUGGGCUGUUAAAAUUGAUAUUAUUUGACUUUUUCUAUUUGCACUGUAUGCAUAGAGUGAAAGCUCUCUUUCUCCUUCACUAGUUCACUUCUAUGGUUCAUUUUUUAUUUUUAUUAAACAACUUUGGAUGUUAGGAAUCUGCAAACAAAAAUUCAAACUUUUUUUCUUUGAUUUCCAACAUUGAUUGUCAAAACAACUUAUACCUAACAUGUAUUUUUCUAUUCGUCGAUGGGUACCAAUCCACCGUAUCGAUUGUCGAAUCAUUACUUGAAGCUCGUUGGCAAAACUUAAAAAAACAACAACUUAAUAUCCUAGUGACUUAAAUGAAAACUUUAGAAUUUAGUGACCUAAUAAAAAACUUUCCCAUAAUUUAGUGACUAAUGGUGUAGUUUACACACUUCCUCUUGCCCCAAUUGAAGUUUUUGGUACUCCCAAACACUCGUAAAAAAGUUUUAAUACUAGAAUUGUAUGAAUAUUUUAAUAUAAAGUACCAGUUUACUCUUUGAUCUACAUAGUGAGACUAAUUUGCCAAUUUUUUAAAUAAAUGGGAUAAAAUACAAUUUAACUUUUAGUAUAAGGACCUCCAUUGUAUGUUUACCUUGAGAUUAUCAAUAAAAACUAAUAAAUAUAAAAUGAUACAGUUAAGAAUAUAUCAAAUAUCCACGAGGUGAUAAGUGUUUUCAAAAUUUAACAUGCACAACUUAAUGGGUUAGAGACAAGGCCGAGCAAAGCCAUUAGUGGAUGGGUAACAAAUUUGGUAAUAUUUUAACAAUUUAACUAUUAAAUUCAUCGAUAUAAUUGUACUUGACAUGCAUGUAAAUUUUCAAACCGAUCUGAUAUUUGUAUCAUAUUAAUCUAAAAUAUUGUAUAUAUUGAACUAUUAAGGUUUUUUUAUAUAAAAUAAAUAGUUAAAAUUUGUUAACGUAAAUCAAAUUUGAUAUGCAUAAUUUAUUUGAACAGAAUAUCAAAUAUGAUAGUUGAAUGAUUAGAAUAUUAAUCAUAUAAAAAAAUAAAAUGCAUAUUUUAAAUUUAAUUUAAAAUAUUUAAAAAACACUAAAAUAAAUUAAUAAAAUCUUCAAUAACUUUUGAAUUUAAAUCACAAUUAUCGAAAUUGGAUUAAGUUAAAUUGAAAAUGAAUUAAGGUAUCAAUUUGGAAUAAAAGAUGGAAUUAAUUAUCUCACAAAUUGAUUGAAUCCACAUACCGGAUAAUUUUUUUCAAUUUUUAAAUAUUUUAAUAAUUUAUUUAAUUCAUCCAUUCAGACCAAUUUUUAAAUACUUUAUUACAUUACUUUGUAAUGUCAAAGUCACGUGAUUUUUUUAGACUUGAUUUUUUCUGCCAAUUACUUCCGCACGUGCCAUUUCUUUUAUCAUCUUUCAAUGACGUGUACGGUAUAGAUAGCUUGCCUUCAAUUUCUUUAUUUGCCAAAUUCUGUUAUUAGUCCCUAUACUAUAAGUAGUUUGCGAAUUUAGUCUCUAUAUUUUAAAAAAAAGUCAAUUUUAAUCCUUAUACAUUUUAGCAUUUAAAAUUUUCAUCAUCCACAAAGAGUAGAAAUUAAAUAUGCUUGGUUAAUUUAUGUCACUAAUCUUGUACAGAGCAUAAAGUUAUUCCACAUUCUCCAAUUUGAUCAUUCAUAAUUCUUAUAUUUUUUGAAUUUUUAAAUUUUAACAAGCUGACAUAACAUUACGUGUAUGACGAUAUGUUUGACGUAUAAAAUUUUGAAAAUAGUAGAACUUAAUGAAUUUAAUGGUUAUUUUUUAAAUCAAGAUUGAAAUUUCAAAAUUAAAAAAAUAUAGGGACUAGAUCAAAUUAAUUAAAGUACAUAGACCAAAUUUACAACUUGCAAAUUACACAAGAAUUAAUAGCAGGAUUUAACCUAUUUUUACAUUUAAAUAUGUAAAAAUACCAUCCAUCCACCGCCUCCCAAUGGAGAAGAUAGGCUUUUUUUUUUUUAAGUAAUUCAAUUUUUUAUUAAUUACGAUAAUGACCAAUUUAAAAAUUAUGUACGUAAAUGAUCUGAUUUCUAUAGUGUAUGCCGGUGCCAUCAAACACACUGAUGGCACCGGCCCCAUCAUCGGCCAACGGUUGUAUUUUUUAAAACAUUUUCAAUUCAUUCCCCAGCAUAAUUAAAUUUAGAUAUACUCGAGAAAAUAUUUUGAAGGAUAUAUUUGGGUAAUUUAAAUAAUAAUUUUAUAUAAUCUUUUAAGUUUAUUGUUUUUAAAAAAUUAAAAAAAAUUAAAAGAGUUUAUUUUUGUUAUUCCUAUAACUUUAAGGGAUAUUUAAAUUUAAUUUUAAAAGGAGAUAGACUUGAAAUAGACAAAAAAUUGAAAAAUAUAAAAUUUGUUGCCUACCGGCUGCACCCUUUUUCAACUAAAAAAUUAUUAUUAUAUUUUUAAAAUGCAAUUAUUGGCCAAUGAUUGUGUGGCGUCAACGACAAUCAUUGUAGAAGUUGAAUUAUUUUCGUAAUUAUUCACAAAACUUGGGUUACUUUUGUAAAAAAACCCGAGUAGCCGGACACUUUCUGACUUUCCCUUCUGUCAGUUUUUCAUCAACAGGUUUGCCUCUUACCAGAACAUCAAUGGAUGUUAGUGUAAAGAGAUGGAGCAUGAUACGCCCUGCUCAAGAUACUCCUAAAGAAAGGCAAUGGAUAUUUCAAAUCUGGACGUGGUGAUGACAACAUACCAUCUCCCUUUGCUGUUUUUCUACAAACCAAAUGGCUCCUCUGACUUCUUCAAGCCUCAAGUCCUACAGGAGGCUUUAAGCAAGACUCUUGUGCAAUUCUAUCCUAUGGCUGGGAGGUUGGGACGUGAUGAAAAUGGUAGACUGGAGAUAUUAUGCAACGCAGAGGGUGUUCUGUGGAUAGAAGCUGAAACUACAUCGGCCAUGGAUGAUCUCGACGGUUUUACUCCCUGCUCAAAACUGAGGAAACUGGUUCCCACGGCUGAUUACUCUGGAGAUAUCAGUUCUUAUCCGCUUAUUAUGGCUCAGGUAAGUGAAUGAAGAACUGUUAUCUUAUUAUAGAUGAUAACUGUUACUUGCAGUAGGAGACCAAGGAUAAGCUCUGAGAAAACUCAAACAGCCUGAUACUGAAGUUAAAGCAAAAGAAAAACUAAGCUAUCAGCUAAGAAGUCAAUAUAUGGCUUUUUUUUCUCAAAAUUGACAUUAAUUAUGAAAAUGAACCAGGUAUAAAAUCUUACACGAGAGGUAAAAGUAUUACCAUCAACAAAGUAUAGAUACUUUACGUUCAUCUUCACAAGAAAGUGCUAAGGUCCAUGGUGGUGGCUUAGUAGUGAAGAAGAUGAAACCGGAACCUUUUGCUGUUUAGUGAACCUCUCAUAUUUAAUAAACAUUUUAGCUCGUCAGAUACAACGAUAUUUUAAAUGAAAACAACUGUAAUAAUCCUCACUGAAGAAAAGCUAAGAACAAGAUUAAUCAAAGCUAAGAAUAAGAUUACAAGAUUAUUACAAAUGAGUCGAACGAGAGGUUCAUUGAAGAGAAAAAGGUUUUGGUUUCAUCUUCUUCACUGCUAAGCCACCACCACGGAACUCUUAGCACUUUCUUGUGAAGCCGAAUCGAAAGUAUUAAUACUUUAUUGCUGUUAUUACUAUCAAUAAAGUAUUGAUACUUUUUACAAAACUAACACCGGUGCUACCAAUGAGUCUAUAGUGGCAUCUAGUUUUUAUUAUUAUUUUAGAACAUGGGAUGGUGCCGCCAAUAAGAAUGGUGACACUAACUUUUACCGUAAAAAACGGAUCAUUUUUGUGAAAGAUUUUGCACUUGAAUCAUUUUUAUAAUUAAUCAAACUUUUUUGUCAAUUUUGCAAAAAAAAAAAAACCUUAAAAUUUUUGCUUCAAAAACGUUAAUUGUUGUGUGUAUAUUUUGCUAGGUAACUCUACUCUUAAAUGCGGUGGAGUUUGUCUUGGAAUAGCAACUCAUCAUACUUUGACUGAUGGCACAACGGCCUUUCAUUUCAUCAGUAGUUGGUCUGAAAUAGCAAGAGGCUUGCCCCAAAUUAGCAUGCCACCACUUAUUGACCGAACCCUUCUCCGAGCAAGAGUGCCACCAAUCCCUAGAUUUCAUCAUCUCGAAUAUGGCCCACCUCCUUCCUUAAACACCUCUACGUCACUUGGCCCUAAUACCCAUAAGCCCUCAAUUGUAUCUGUUUUCAAGAUCACACAAAAUCAACUUAAUACCCUAAAAGCCAAGUCAUGGGAACAUGGUAACAAAACCAAUUACAACACCUACAUCAUUCUAGCUGCAUACAUAUGGCGCUGUGCAACUAAAGCUCGGGGCCUCUCAUAUGACCAACCAACCAAGUUAAACAUGCCAAUUAAUGGACGUCCCAGACUACAUCCUCCAGUCCCAUCAACGUACGUGGGCAAUGAAAUGUUUGCGGCUUCAUUAAUUACUCUAUCUGGAAAUCUCCAAUCAGAACCGUUUGUAAAUACCCUAGAACGAGUUCAUGGAACAUUGAAAGGGAUGAAUAAUGAGUAUCUAAGAUCAGCUCUUGACUACCUAGAAACACUGCCAGAUAUAACAGUUGCCAGGAGAAAACCAGACACUUACUAGUGCCCAAACCUAAGUAUCAUCAAAUGGACACGACUGUCUAUAUAUGAUGCAGAUUUUGGAUGGGGUCGACCAAUAUACACGGGUCCAACAAACGUUGUCCAUGAAGGAAAAAUAUACAUACUACCAAGUCCAACCGAUGAUGGGAGCUUGUCACUGGUAGCAUGACUGCAGACAUCUCAUAUGAAACUCUUCGAGAAACAUCUAUACGAAGGCUUGAAGUCAUUUGACAAGAUCAAAGCUCGAUAUUAGUUGUUUGUUCUGUCUAUCAAUAUAUGUAUAAACCUAUAAAUCUUCUACUUAUGUUUCUUUAACUAAAACUUUGUUUGAAUCCUGUUCAUUUGAAAUUUAACAUCUAAGCUGCCCUGGCUAACAGUUUUUUUUAUUGUUAAUUAUUAUACUAUACUUCGAUAAUAGUAGUAGCAUUGAUUGAUCGCAAAGAAAUGAUAAAGAAAAAUAAGAAUAUAUAGAUGGAAAAGUCUUAUUAGGAAAAAAAAAUCAUGGGCAGAGGAGAAGUUAACUAAUGUUGAAAAACAAUAAUGCAAGAGGUCUUUUUUACUACACACAUUUUAACGGUUAAAUAACAUUUUUAUAAUCAACGUCUAAUAGAAGAUCGCCCCCACAUAUCCCCCAAAUUUGCAAUUCUAUUUUAUUUCUUUAACAAAUAAGUUGCACAUCGAAUUUUUUUGCCUGGAUCAAAAGGGAUUCAGAUCAAACAACUCUGACAACACCUCAAAUUAUUUGUCCAUAACCAUAUUAAAACAAAUACCGAAUAAUUGAAAUAUAUUCAAAAUUUUAAAUUAAAUUAAGUUUGGAUCAAACUCACUGAUGAUAUAUGAUUUACCUAAAGUGAAAUAAGAACUCGAAAAUACAAAAUUUAUGGGUAAAUUUUUGUUUUGGUCACUUAAUUAAAAAAUUAUAAUUUGGUUAUUGAACUAUUCAAAAGUUUUCUUUUAAGUCGUUGAAUUGUUAAAAUUGAUGUUAUAUGACUUUAUCUGUUUGCAGUGCAUGCAUCAAUUGAAAGUUCUCUUUUUCCUUCACUUCCAGAGUUCAUUUUCUAUUUUUAUAUAACAACUUUAGACGUUACAAAUCUGCAAACCAAAAUUCAAAUAUUUUUUGCUUUGAUUUCCAACAUUGACUAUCAAAUCAAUUUAGAUCUAAGGUAUGUUUUUCUACGCAUUAAUGGGUACCGAUCCAUCGUAUCGGUCGUUGAAUCCUUACUUGGAGCUCGUUAGUGGAACUUAAAAAACAACUUAAUAGCCUAGUGACUUAAAUGAAAAUUUUACCAAACCAAAAAAAGGGGAGAAUGUGAUAUCACUGCGAAUUUUAUUUAUUUUUUUAUUUAGCCCUAAUAAAGUGACGCGUUUCAAAGGAUGAAGAUAUUUUCCCAUUCGAGCUCUAUGAGUUAUUCGCGCCUUUUAAUUGGGCCAUUCAUUUUUUUUCUUUAAUUCUGUUGAUUCUCAAUUUAAUCCCUAAUCUUUUAUUUUAGGUUUUUAGUCUAUUUUAUUAAUUUUGUUAUUAUUAUUAUUAUUAUUAUAUUAUAUAUAUUAUUAUUAUUAUACCUACAUAUAUGUGCGCAUAUGCAUGUUAAUAUAUAUACAUAUAUAUUUUAAACGUUUUAAUAUAUAUACAUAUUAUAUACAUACUUUAUUAUUAUUUUAUUUUCAUAGUUUUUUAUACAUAUAUAUACACAUUUAUAUUUCAUAAUAUUUAUACCUUCGCCCAUAUUCUAUGAUUUUUAUAUGUUUAUACAUUUUUGUAAUAUGUACACAUAUAUUUAUACUCCAUUCAAAGCUUAUUAUAAAUAAUUUCUACGUUUUUAUAUUAUACUUAUAUAUUUCAUUUUUUCUGUAAAUGCAUGUAUAUAUUUUGUACCUUUUCAUUAUAUUUUUUGUUUAUUUCCUUCAUUUGCUUAUUGAUCCAUGUUUUCUUUUUGUAUUUGGUACGUUUGAUAUUUUACAUGAUUGUUUUUAUGUACAUUAAUUUCAUCUAUUUCUAUGCCAUAGUUGUAUUUAUUAUUGCAUUGUAUAUUUAAUGUAGCAUCACAUCAUUUUUUUACUCGAUUUCAAACUUUUCAAAAUUGAGAUAAUGCUUGUAUUUAGGAUUUUCAAGGAAAUUGAGCCCUAACGUAUUGGGUUCCGAUUUUCUUCGUUAAAUCUAACAAUCGAGCAUUUCUCUUUAAUCAAAAAAUAAGAACUCAUUAUUGGGAAUUCAACACGUUGUGUCCUAACGUAUUGGAUGUGACGCAUUGAUUUCUCGAAAUGAAGAUUUUUUCUAAAAAAUAAUAAAGGAAAUAUUCCGAGUUUGGGAUUUUGGAGGAAUUGUGCCCUAACGUAUUGGGCUGCGAUUUCUUAAAUCUUGAAUAAAUGGAUAUUCUUUUAAAUUUUUAUUACAUGAGUAUUCUGACCUAAUUCAUUUUUGAAGAAAUUAGAAUGUCGUGCCCUAACGCAUUGGGUAUGGCAUUUUCUUUCUCUGAAAUGAUGAGGGUCUUAAUACGUAACGUUUUUAAGUUUUUGCUAAGGAUUAUAUUUUUUCAAAUUUUCGACAUUAAGACAUUAAUUAAUUAACUAGGAACCAAUUUUUGAGCGUUAUGAGGGUGCUAAUCCUUCCUCAUACGUAACCGACUCCCGGACCCAUUUUUCUAAAAUUCGUAGACCAAAGUCGUUUUUAGGUGACCCAAUCACACCUUAAUAAAAGAUUGGUGGCGACUCUCAAUUUUCAUUUUUUAAAGUCGACAACCUAAAAUUUUUUGUUUUCAAAAAAUGGUUUCGACAAUUAAGUUUGGGUCAAACUCGCUGAUGAUAUAUGAUUUACCUAAAGUGAAAUAAGAGCUCGAAAAUACAAAAUUUAUAAGUAAAUUUUCGUUUUGGUCACUUAAUUAAGAAAUUAUUAUUAUAUUUUUAAAAAGGUUAAUUGCUUCACGUUUUAUAUAACACCACUAAAAAAUUAUUAUUAUAUUUUUAAAAUGCAAUUAUUGGCCUAUGAUGGUGUGGCGUCAACGACAAUCACUGUAGAAGUUGAAUUAUUUUCGUAAUUAUUCACAAAACUUGGGUUACUUUUAUUAAAAAAAACCCUAGAAGAGAACCUCGCCUUUGCUUAAGAUAGCCGGACACUUUCUGACUUUCCCUUCUGUCAGUUUUUCAUCAACAGGUUUGCCUCUGACCAGAACAUCAAUGGAUGUUAGUGUAAAGAGAUGGAGCAUGAUACGCCCUGCUCAAGAUACUCCUAAAGAAAGGCAAUGGAUUUCAAAUCUGGACGUGGUGAUGACAACAUACCAUCUCCCUUUGCUGUUUUUCUACAAACCAAAUGGCUCCUCUGAUUUCUUUAAGCCUCAAGUGCUACAGGAGGCUUUAAGCAAGACUCUUGUGCAAUUCUAUCCUAUGGCUGGGAGGUUGGGGCGUGAUGAAAAUGGUAGGCUCGAGAUAUUAUGCAACGCAGAGGGUGUUCUGUGGAUAGAAGCUGAAACUACAUAGGCCAUGGAUGAUCUCGACGGCUUUACUCCCUGCUCAAAACUGAGGAAACUGGUUCCCACGGCUGAUUACUCUGGAGAUAUCAGUUCUUAUCCGCUUAUUAUGGCUCAGGUAAGUGAUUGAAGAACUGUUAUCUUAUUAUAGAUGAUAGCUGUUACUUGCAGUAGGAGACCAAGGAUAAGCUCCGAGAAAACUCAAACAGCCUGAUACUGAAGUUAAAGCACAAGAAAAACUAAGCUAUCAGCUAAGAAGUUAAUAUAUGGCUUUUUUUUUCAAAAUUGACAUUAAUUAUGAAAAUGAACCAGGUAUAAAAUCUUACACUAGAGGUGCCGCUAGACUCAUUGGCGACACCGGUAAUUUUGUAAAAAGUAUUACCAUCGACAAAGUAUAGAUACUUUACGUUCAUCUUCACAAGAAAGUGCUAUAAGGUCCAUGGUGGUGGCUUAGUGUUGAAGAAGAUGAAACCGGAACCUUUUGCUGUUUAGUGAACCUCUCAUAUUUAAUAAACAUUUUAGCUCGUCAGAUACAACGAUAUUUUAAAUGAAAACAACUGUAAUAAUCCUCACUGAAGAAAAGCUAAGAACAAGAUUAAUCAAAGCUAAGAAUAAGAUUACAAGAUUAUUACAAAUGAGUCGAACGAGAGGUUCAUUGAAGAGAAAAAGGUUUUGGUUUCAUCUUCUUCACUGCUAAGCCAACACCACGGAACUCUUAGCACUUUCUUGUGAAGCCGAACCGAAAGUAUUAAUACUUUAUUGAUGUUAUUACAAUCAAUAAAGUAAUGAUACUUUUUACAAAACUAACACCGGUGCUACCAAUGAGUCUGGUGGCAUCUAAUUUUUUUAGAACAUGGGAAUAAGAAUGGUGACACUAAAUUUUACCGUAAAAAACGGAUCAUUCUUGUGAAAGAUUUUGCAUAACCAUAUUAAAACAACUCUUACUGGAUCAAAAGGGAUUCAGAUCAAAUAACUCUGACAACAUCUCAAAUUAUUUGUCCAUAACCAUAUUAAAACAAUUACAGAAUAAUUGAAAUAUAUUCAAAAUUUUAAAUUAAAUUAAGUUUGGAUCAAACUCACUGAUGAUAUAUGAUUUACCUAAAGUGAAACAAGAAAUCAAAAAUACAAAAUUUAUGGGUAAAUUUUUGUUUUGGUCACUUAAUUAAAAAAUUAUAAUUUGGUUAUUGAACUAUUCAAAAGUUUUCUUUUAAGUCAUUGGAUUGUUAAAAUUGAUGUUAUAUGACUUUCUCUGUUCACAGUGCAUGCAUCAAUUGAAAGCUCUCUUUUUCCUUCACUUUCACAGUUCAUUUUCUAUUUUUAUAUAACAACUUUAGACGUCACAAAUCUGCAAACCAAAAUUCAAAUAUUUUUUGCUCUGAUUUCCAACAUUGACUAUCAAAUCAAUUUAGAUCUAAGGUAUGUUUUUCUACGCAUUAAUGUAUACCGAUCCAUUGUAUCGAUCGUUGAAUCCUUACUUGGAGCUCGUUAGUGGAACUUAAAAAACAACUUAAUAGCCUAGUGACUUAAAUGAAAAUUUUACCAAACCAAAAAAUUUCCCAUAAUUUAAUGACUAAUGGUGUAGUUUACGCACUUCCUCUUGGCCCAAUUGAAGUUUUUGGUACUCCCAAUUCCCAAACACCAGUAAAAAAGUUUUAAUAGUAGAAAUAUAUGAAAUUUUUAAUAGAAAGUACCAUUUUACUUUUUGAUCUAUAUAGAAAGACUAAUUUGUCAAUUUUUUAAAUUAAUGGGGCAAAAUACAAUUUGACUUUUAAUAUAAAAAUUUCCAUGGUACUUUUACCUUGAAACUAUCAAUAAAAACUAAUAAGUAUAAAAUGAAACAAUUAAGAAUAUAUCAGAUAUCCACGAGGUGAUAAGUGCUUUUAAAAAUAGUAGUACUUAAUGAAUUUAAUGGUUAUUGUUUAAAUCAAGAUUGGAAUUUCAAAAUUAGAAAAACAUAUGAACUAAAAUGAUCAAAUUAAUUAAAGUACAUAAACCAAAUUUUCAACUUGCAAAUUGCACAAGUAUUAAUAGCAGGAUUUAACCUAUUUUUACAUUUAAAUAUGUAAAAAUAUCACCCUUUCACACCCUCCCAACGGAGAAGAUUAGCUUUUUUUUUAAGUAAUUCAACUUUUUUAUUAAUUAUGAUAAUGACCAACUUAAAAAUUAUGUACGUAAAUGAUCUGAUUUCUAUAGUGUAUGUCGGUGCUGUCACAUACGCUGGUGGCACCGACCCCAUCAUCGGCCAAUGAUUGUAUUUUUUAAAACAUUUUCAAUUCAUUCCCUAGCAUAUUUAAAUUUAGAUAAACUUGAGAAAAUUUUUUGAAGGAUAUAUUUGGGUAAUUUAAAUAAGAAUUUUAUAUAAUCUUUUAAGUUUAUUGUUUUUAAAAAAAUAAAAAAAAUUAAAAGAGUUUAUUUUUCUUAUUCUUAUAAUUUUAAGGGCUAUUUAAAUUUAAUUCUAAAAGGAGAUAGACUUAACAUGCAAAUAAUUCAAAAAUUGAAAAUAUAAAAUUUGGUGCCUACCUGCUACACCCUUUUUAUUGGCCUAUGAUGUGUGACGUCACGAUCAAACACUGUAGAAGUUGAAUUAUUUUCGUAAUUAUUCACAAAAUUUGGCUUACUUUUGUAAAAAAACCCGAGAAGAGAACCUCGCCUUUGCUUAAGAUAGACGGACACGUUCUGACUUUCCCCUCUGUCAGUUUUUCAUCAACAGGUUUGCCUCUUACCAGAACAUCAAUGGAUGUUAGUGUAAAGAGAUGGAGCAUGAUACGCCCUGCUCAAGAUACUCCUAAAGAAAGGCAAUGGAUUUCAAAUCUGGACGUGGUGAUGACAACAUACCAUCUCCCUUUGCUGUUCUUCUACAAACCAAAUGGCUCCUCUGACUUCUUCAAGCCUCAAGUCCUACAGGAGGCUUUAAGCAAGACUCUUGUGCAAUUCUAUCCUAUGGCUGGGAGGUUGGGACGAGAUGAAAAUGGUAGGCUCGAGAUAGUAUGCAACGCAGAGGGUGUUCUGUGGAUAGAAGCUGAAACUACAUCGGCCAUGGAUGAUCUCGACGGUUUUACUCCCUGCUCAAAACUGAGGAAACUGGUUCCCACGGCUGAUUACUCUGGAGAUAUCAGUUCUUAUCCGCUUAUUAUGGCUCAGGUAAGUGAAUGAAGAACUAUUAUCUUAUUAUAGAUGAUAACUGUUACUUGCAGUAGGAGACCAAGGAUAAGUUCUGAGAAAACUCAAACAGCCUGAUGCUGAAGUUAAAGCACAAGAAAAUCUAUCAGCUAAGAAGUUGAUAUAUAUACGAGAAUGACCCGUUUUCUACCGUAAAAGUCAGUGCCGCUAGACUAAUUAGCGACACCGAUAUUUUUGCAAAAGUAUUACCAUCAACAAAGUAUCGAUACGAGAAAGUGCUAAUUACGGAGGUCCAUGGUGUGGUGGCAUAGUAGUGAAGAAGAUGAAACCAAAAACCUUUUCUCUUCAAUAAUGAACCUCUGGUUUAACUCAUUUGUAAUAAUCAUUUUCGCUCGUCGGAUACGACCGCAUUUUAAAUGGAAAACUGUAAUAAUUCUCACCGAAGAAAAGCAAAGAACAAGAUUAAUCAAAGCCAAUAAUAUUAUUACAAAUGAGUUAGGCGAGAGGUUCAUUGAAGAGAAAAGGGUUUCGAUUUCAUCUUCUUCACUGCUAAGCCACCGCCAUGCAACUCUUUGACCUUUCUCAUGAAGCUAAACGAUACCAUCAACAUCGGUGCCAACAUUGAGUCCGGCCACAUUCAAAAAAUAUAUAUUUUUAAAAAACAUGGGGUGGUGCUUCAAUGGGAAUGGUGGCACCAAAUUUUAUGAUAGAAAAUGGGCCAUUCUCCUACAAGAUUUUACACUUGAGUUAUUUUUAUAAUUAAUCAAUUUUUCUUGUCAAUUUUGAAAAAAAAAACCUUAAAUAUUUUUGUUUCAAAAAGGUCAACUGUUGAGUGUAUAUUUUGCUAGGUAACUACUCUUAAAUGCGGUGGAGUUUGUCUUGGAAUAGCAACUCAUCAUACUUUGACUGAUGGCACAACGGCCUUACAUUUCAUUAAUAGUUGGUCUGAAAUGGCAAGAGGCUUGCCCGAGAUUAGCAUGCCACCACUUAUUGACCGAACCCUUCUCCGAGCAAGAGUGCCACCAAUCCCUAGAUUUCAUCAUCUCGAAUAUGACCGACCUCCUUCCUUAUACACCUCUACAUCACUUGGCCCUAAUAACCAUAAACCCUUAACUGUAUCUGUUUUCAAGAUCACACAAAAUCAACUUAAUACCCUAAAAGCCAAGUCAUGGGAACAUGGAAACAAAACCAAUUGCAGCACCUUCACCAUUCUAGCUGCAUACAUAUGGCGCUGUGCAACUAAAGCUUGGGGCCUCUCAUAUGAUCAACCAACCAAGUUACACAUGCCAACUAAUGGACGCCCCAGACUACAUCCUCCCCUCCCAUCAACGUACUUGGGCAACGCAAUGUUUGCAGCUUCAUUAAUUGCUCUAUCUGGAAAUCUCCAAUCAAAACCAUUUGUAAAUACCCUAGAACGAGUUCAUGGAACAUUGCAAAGGAUGAAUAAUGAGUAUCUAAGAUCAGCUCUUGACUACCUAGAAACACUGCCAGAUAUAACAGUUGCCAGGAGAACACCGGACACUUACCAUUGCCCAAACCUAAGUAUCAACAAAUGGACACGACUGUCUUUAUAUGAUGCAGAUUUUGGAUGGGGUCGACCAAUAUACAUGGGUCCAGCAAACGUUGUCCAUGAAGGAAAAAUAUAUAUACUACCAAGUCCAACCGAUGAUGGGAGCUUGUCAUUGGUAGCAUGCCUACAGACUGCUCAUAUGAAACUCUUCGAGAAACAUCUAUACGAAGGCUUGAAGUCAUUUGACAAGAUCAAAGCUCAAUAUUAGUUGUUUGUUCUCUCUAUCAAUAUAUGUAUAAACCUAUAAAUCUUCUACUUAUGUUUCUUUAACUAAGACUUUUUGUUUGGAUCCUGUUUAUUUGAAAUUUACCAUCUAAGCUGGCCUGGCAAACAGGUCUUUUAUUGGUAAUUAUUGUACUAUACCUCGAUAAUAGUAAUAGCAUUGAUCGCAAAGAAAUAAUAAAGUAAAAUAAGAAUACACAGAUUUUACGUGGAAAAGUCUUAUUAGAAAAAAAAUCACGGGCAAAGUAAAAAUUUACUAAUGUUGAAAAGCAACAAUACAAGAAGUUUUUUUUACUACACACGUUUUAACGGUUAAAUAACAUUUUUAUAAUCAAUGUCUAAUAGAAGAUCGCUCCCACAUAUCCCCCAAAUUUGCAAUUCUAUUUUAUUUCUUUAACAAACAAGUUGCACCUCGAAUUUUUCUUGACUGGAUCAAACGGGGUUCAAAUCAAACAGCUCUGACAACACCUCAAAUUAUUUGUCCAUAACCAAUUAAAACAAAUACCGAAUAAUUGAAAUAUAUUCAAAAUUUUAAAUUAAAUUAAGUUUGGAUCAAACUCACUGAUGAUAUAUGAUUUACCUAAAGUGAAAUAAGAACUCGAAAAUACAAAAUUUAUGGGUAAAUUUUCUUUUUGGUCACUUAAUUAAAAAAUUAUAAUUUGGUUAUUAAACUAUUCAAAAGUUUUAUUUUAAGUCAUUGGAUUGUUAAAAUUUAUAUUAUACAACUUUCUCUAUUCGCAGUGCAUGCAUCAAUUGAAAGCUCUCUUUUUCCUUCAUUUUUACAGUUCAUUUUCUAUUUUUAUGUAACAACUUUGGACGUCAUAAAUCUGUAGACCAAAAUUUAAACAUUUUUUGCUCUGAUUUCCAACAUCGACCAUCAAAUCAAUUUAGAUCUAAAGUAUAUUUUUCUACUCAUUAAUGGAAUAAUGGGUAUCGAUCCAUCGUAUCGAUUGUUGAACCCUUACUUGGAGCUCGUUAGUGGAACUUAAAAAACAACUUAAUAGCCUAGUGACUUAAAUGAAAAUUUUCAAAUUUAGUGACCAAACCAAAAACUUUCCCAUAAUUUAAUGACUAAUGGUGUAGUUUACGCACUUCCUCUUGGCCCAAUUGAAGUUUUUGGUACUCCCAAACACUAGUAAAAAAGUUUUAAUAGUAGAAUGUAUGAAAUUUUUAAUAGAAAGUAACAUUUUACUUUUUGAUCUAUAUACAGAGACUAAUGUGCCAAUUUUUUAAAAUAAAUAUGACAAAAUGCAAUUUGACUUUUAAUAUAAAAAUCUCCAUGGUGCGUUUACCUUGAAAUUAUCAAUAAAAACUAAUAAAUAUAAAAUGAAACAGUUAAGAAUAUAUCAAAUAUUCACGAGGUGAUAGGCGCUUUUAAAAUUUAACAUUUACAACUUAAUGGGCUAGUGACAAGGCCAAGCAAACCAUUAGUGGAUUGGUAACAAAUUUGGUAAUAUUUUAACGAUCCAAUUGUUAAAUAUAUCGAUAUAACUGUAUUUGGUAUGAAUGUAAAAUUUCGAACCGAUCCGAUAUUUCUGACAUAUUGAUCUAAAAUAUUGCAUAUAUUAAACUAUUAAAUUUUUUUAUAUAAAAUAAAUAGUUAGUUUUUUUUUUAAUUUACAUCAAAUUUGACAUGCACAAUCUAUUUGAAUAGAAUAUGAAAUAUGAUAAUUGAAUCAUUAAAAUAUUAAUUGUAUAAAAAAUAAAAUACAUAUUUUAAAUUUAAUAUAAAAAUGUUUAAAAAACACUAAAAUAAAUUAAUAAAAUUCUCAAUGACUUUUGGGUUUAAAUCAAAAUUAUCGAAACUGGAUUAGAUCAAAUCGAAAAUUAAUUAAGGUAUGAGUUUGGAAUAAGAGGAUUAAUUAUCUCACAAAUUGGUUAAAUCGACAAAUCAGAUCAAUUUUUUUUCAAUUUUUAAUUUUUUAAUAAUUUAUUUAAUUAAAUUAAUAAAAUCAAUCAAAUCAGAAUUAGAAUCUAAUUCUAAACACUUUGUUUUGUUAUGUCAAAGCCACAUGUUUUUUUACACCUUAUUUAUUCUGCAAAUUACUGUCCGCACGUGUCAACUCUUUAUCAUCUUUUAAUGACGUGUACGGUAUAGAUAGCCUGUCUUCAAUUUUUUUAUUUGCCAAAUUCUGUUAUUAGUCCCUGUAUUAUAAGUAGUUUGCGAAUUUAAUCUCUAUAUUAAAAAAAUAGUCAAUUUUAGUUCUUAUACUUUUUAGCAUCUAAAAUUUUAAUCAUCCACAAGGAGUAGUAAUUAAAUAUGUUUGUUAAUUUAGGUCCUUAAUCUUUUACACAGUAUAAAGUUAUUCUACGUUCUCUAAUUUGAUCAUUCAUAAUCCUUAUAUUUUUUGAAUUUUUAAAUUUUAAUAAGCUGACAUAAUAUUACAUAUAUGAUAAUAUUUUUGACACAUAAGAUUUUGAACAUAAUAAAACAUAAUGAAUUUAAUGGUUAUCGUUUAGAUCAGGAUUGAAAUUUUAAAAUUAGAAAAAUAUAUGGACUAAAAUGAUUAAAUUAAAGUACAUACACUAAAUUUACAACUUUCCCAUUGCACAAGUACUAAUAGCAGGAUUUACCCUAUUUUUACAUUUAAAUAUGUAAAAAUAUCACCCAUCCACUGCCUCCCAACAGAGAAGAUAGGCUUUUUUUUUUUUGCAAUAAAAGAAUUAAUAAUUACUUGAUAAAUUAUUUUAUGGACAUUUUUUGUCAUAUCAUCCAUGAUCCCGUCCAAUUAGAAGAGAACGCGUCAUCUUUUUUUCCACAUCAUAUAUACAUUUAGACUAAACUUCCAAAUAAAAGAUGACGUGUCGUGUUUUAAUUGGGAGGAACUAUGGAUGAUGGGGUGAAAAAUGUCCAUAAAAUAAUUUCUCAUUAUUACCUUAUCUUCGAACACAAAAACACAAGCAUUAGCAAACAGAUUUCGCCCAUCUGCUACCUCCCAAUCGAGAAGAUAGGUUUUUUUUCUGAGUAACUCAAUUUUUUUGAUUAAUUAUGAACAUAAUUAACUUAAAAAUUAUGUCCGUAAAUGAUUUGAUUUUUACAGUGCUUGUCGAUGUUGCCAGACACACCGACGGCACCAGGCCCAUCAUCGACCAAUAAUUAUAUUAUUUUAAACAUUUUCAAUUCAUUCCUUAGCAUAUUUAAAUUUAUAUAAAUUGAGAUAAUUUUUUGAAGGAUAUAUUUGGGUAAUUUAAAUAAGACUUUUAACUUUAUUGUUUCUAAAAAAAUAAAAAAUUAUUUUUAUUAUUCUUAUAUUUUUAAGGACUAUUUAAAUAUAAUUUUAAAAAUAGAUAUACUUAACACGCAAAUAAAUAAAAAAUUAAAAAGCAUCAAAUUUGGUGCCGACAUGGUGCACCCUUUUUCUGCAAACUAAAAAGUUAUUAUUUUCUAGGUAAGGAAUAGUCUGUUUUAUUUACCUCAUAUUAUAUUUUAGUUAUUUAUAUUUAAAAUGUUAUUUUUAAGUGGUCACUCCACUGUUAAAUUUCGUUACCUCUCUAACGGUAAUUUUAUGUGACAGUUAGACCUGUCCAUGGGCCGGGCGGCUCAGCCUGGCCCGAAGGCCUGCCCGAAAUAUGGGAGGGUUCGGGUAAAAAUAUAGGCCCGAAAUAUGGGCUUGGGCAAAAAAAUGAGGCCCGUUUAAAAAAUGGGCCGGGCUUGGGCUCAACUUUUUUGGCCCGGGCCCGGCCCGGCCCGAAUAUAAUAAAUAUAUUUUUUAUUUUUAUUUUUUAAUUUUAAAAUACGUUAAAAAUAUUUUUUUUAUUUUUAUUUUUUUAUUUUUAAAAUAUUUUUUUGUGUUUAUUAAAAAUCGGGCCGGGCCCGGGCUUAUUAUUUUUUUCUCGGGCCGGGCCUGAGAAAAAUUUUAGGCCCAUAUUUCGGGCAGGGCCUAAGAGUCGGGCCGAAUUUUUUCCCGGGCCCAGCCCGGCCCAUGGACAGGUCUAGUGACAGUACAAAUGGGUUUUAAAUGCCAACUACGAUGCCCAAUUAUUAUGACAAAAAUAGGUUUUUAAUUAAAUAAAUUUAAUUUAGACUGCCACGUAGGACCGUCAUUAGGGAGGUAAGAGAGCUUAAUGAUAGAGUGAUCAAUUCGUAACAGAACGAUAACAUUAGUGACUAAAACGUAACAUUUCAAACUUAAGCGACUGUUUUAUAGUUUACCCUUAAUGUAAUUAUUGGCGGAUGAUCUGGCCGCACCGACAAACAGCAGAAAUUGAGUCAUUUUCGUAAUUAUUUACAAAAUUUGGGUUACUUUUCUAAAAAAACCAGAGAAGAGAACCUCGCCUCUGCUUAAGAUAGCCGGACACUUUCUAACUUUCCCUUCUUUCAGUUUUUCAUCAACAGGUUUGCCUCUUACCAGAACAUCAAUGGAUGUUAGUGUAAAGAGAUGGAGCAUGAUACGCCCUGCUCAAGAUACUCCUAAAGAAAGGCAAUGGAUUUCAAAUCUGGACAUGGUGAUAACAACAUACCAUGUCCCUUUGCUGUUUUUCUACAAACCAAAUGGCUCCUCUGAUUUCUUUAAGCCUCAAGUGCUACAGGAGGCUUUAAGCAAGACUCUUGUGCAAUUCUAUCCUAUGGCUGGGAGGUUGGGACGUGAUGAAAAUGGUAGGCUCGAGAUAGUAUGCAACGCAGAGGGUGUUCUGUGGAUAGAAGCUGAAACUACAUCGGCCAUGGAUGAUCUCGACGGUUUUACUCCCUGCUCAAAACUGAGGAAACUGGUUCCCACGGCUGAUUACUCUGGAGAUAUCAGUUCUUAUCCGCUUAUUAUGGCUCAGGUAAGUGAAUGAAGAACUAUUAGCUUAUUAUAGAUGAUAACUGUUACUUGCAGUAGGAGACCAAGGAUAAGCUCUGAGAAAACUCAAACAGUCUGAUACUGAAGUUAUAGCACAAGAAAAACUAAGCUAUCAGCUAAGAAGUUGAUAUAUGGCUUUUUUUUUUCUAAACUGACUUAAAAGAAUCGAUUAAUUAUGAAAAUUACCCAGGUAUAAUAUCUUAUAUGAGAAUGACCCGUUUUCUACCGUAAAAAUUGGUACCGCUAGACUAUUUAGCGGUACCGAUAUUUUUGUAAAAGUAUUACCAUCAACAAAUUAUCGAUAUAUACUUUCCAUUCAUCUUCACAAGAAAGUGCUAAUUACGGAGGUCCAUGGUGGUGGCUUAGUAGUGAUGAAGAUGAAACCAAAACCCUUUUCUCUUCAAUGAACCUCUGGUUUGACUCAUUUGUAAUAAUUAUUUUCGCUCGUUGGAUACAACCGCAUUUUAAAUGGAAAACUGUAAUAAUCCUCACAGAAGAAAAGCAAAGAACAAGAUUAAUCAAAGCGAACAAUAUUGUUACAAAUGAGUUAGGCGAGAGGUUCAUUGAAGAGAAAAGGGUUUCGAUUUCAUCUUCUUCACUGCUAAGCCACUGCCAUGGAACUCUUAGACCUUUCUCAUGAAGCUAAACGAUACCAUCAACAAAGUGUAUCCUUUUUACAAAACUAACAUCGGUGCCAACAAUGAGUCCGGCAACAUUCAAAAAAUAUAUAUUUUUAAAAAACAUGGGGUGGUGCUUCAAUGGAAAUGGUGGCACCAAAUUUUAUGAUAGAAAAUGGGUUAUUCUCGUACAAAAUUUUACACUUGAGUCAUUUUUAUAAUUAAUAAAAUUUUUUGGUCAAUUUUGAAAAAAAAAACCUUAAUGUUUUUGUUUCGAAAAGGUCAAUUGUUGAGUGUAUAUUUUGCUAGGUAACUACUCUUAAAUGCGGUGGAGUUUGUCUUGGAAUAGCAACUCAUCAUACUUUGACUGAUGGCACAAUGACCUUACAUUUCAUUAAUAGUUGGUCUGAAAUGGCAAGAGGCUUGCCCCAAAUUAGCAUGCCACCAGUUAUUGACCGAACCCUUCUUCGAGCAAGAGUGCCACCAAUCCCUAGAUUUCAUCAUCUCGAAUAUGACCGACCUCCUUCCUUAUACACCUCUACGUCACUUGGCCCUAAUAACCAUAAACCCUCAACUGUAUAUGUUUUCAAGAUCACACAAAAUCAACUUAAUACCCUAAAAGCCAAGUCAUGGGAACAUGGAAACAAAACCAAUUACAGCACCUACACCAUUCUAGUUGCAUACAUAUGGCGCUGUGCAACUAAAGCUUGGGACCUCUCAUAUGAUCAGCCAACCAAGUUACACAUGCCAACUGAUGGACGCCCCAGACUACAUCCUCCCCUCCCAUCAACGUACUUGGGUAACGCAAUGUUUGCGGCUUCAUUAAUUGCUCUAUCUGGAAAUCUGCAAUCAGAACCGUUUGUAAAUACCCUAGAACGAGUUCAUGGAACAUUGCAAAGGAUGAAUAAUGAGUAUCUAAGAUCAGCUCUUGACUACCUAGAAACACUGCCAGAUAUAACAGUUGCCAGGAGAACACCGGACACUUACCAUUGCCCAAACCUAAGUAUCAACAAAUGGACACGACUGUCUUUAUAUGAUGCAGAUUUUGGAUGGGGUCGACCAAUAUACAUGGGUCCAGCAAACGUUGUCCAUGAAGGAAAAAUAUACAUACUACCAAGUCCAACCAAUGAUGGGAGCUUGUCACUGGUAGCAUGCCUACAGACUGCUCAUAUGAAACUCUUUGAGAAACAUCUAUACGAAGGCUUGAAGUCAUUUGACAAGAUCAAAGCUCGAUAUUAGUUGUUUGUUCUCUCUAACAAUAUAUGUAUAAACCUAUAAAUCUUCUACUUCUGUUUCUUUAACUAAGACUUUUUGUUUGGAUCCUGUUUAUUUGAAAUUUACCAUCUAAGCUGGCUUGGCGAACAGGUCUUUUAUUGGUAAUUAUUGUACUAUACCUCGAUAAUAGUAGUAUCAUUGAUCGCAAAGAAAUAAUAAAGAAAAAUAAGAAUAUACAGAUUUUACGUGGAAAAGUCUUACUAGGAAAAAAAAUCACGAGCAGAGUAAAAAUUCACUAAUGUUGAAAAAUACUAAUACAAGAAGUUUUUUUGACUACACACAUUUUAACGGUUAAAUAACAUUUUUAUAAUCAACGUUUAAUAGAAGAUCGCCCCCACAUAUCCCCCAAAUUUGCAAUUCUAUUUUAUUUCUUUAACAAACAAGUUGCACCUCGAAUUUUUCUGAUUGGAUCAAACGGGGUUCAGAUCAAACAGCUCUAACAACAACUCAAAUUAUUUGUCCAUAACCAUAUUAAAACAAAUACCGAAUAAUUGAAAUAUAUUCAAAAUUUUAAAUUAAAUUAAGUUUGGAUCAAACUCACUGAUGAUAUAUGAUUUACCUAAAGUGAAAUAAGAACUCGAAAAUACAAAUUUUAUGGGUAAAUUUUCAUUUUGGUCACUUAAUUAAAAAAUUAUAAUUUGGUUAUUAAACUAUUCAAAAGUUUUAUUUUAAGUCAUUGGAUUGUUAAAAUUGAUAUUAUAUGACUUUCUCUGUUCACAGUGCAUGCAUCAAUUGAAAGCUCUCUUUUUCCUUCAUUUCUACAGCUCAUUUUCUAUUUUUAUGUAACAACUUUGGACGUCACAAAUUUGCAGACCAAAAUUCAAACAUUUUUUGCUCUGAUUUCCAACAUGGACCAUCAAAUCAAUUUAGAUCUAAAUUAUAUUUUUAUACUCAUUAAUGGGUACUGAUCCACCAUAUCGAUUGUUGAAUCCUUACUUGGAGCUCGUUAAUGGAACUUAAAAAACAACUUAAUAUAUAGCCUAGUGACUUAAAUGAAAAUUUUUGAAUUUAGUGGCCAAACCAAAAACUUUCCUAUAAUUUAAUGAUUAAUGGUGUAGUUUACGCACUUCCUCUUGGCCCAAUUAAAGUUUUUGGUACUCCCACACACUAGUAAAAAAGUUUUAAUAGUAGAAAUGUAUGAAAUUUUUAAUAGAAAGUACCAUUUUACUUUUUGAUCUAUAUACAGAGACUAAUUUGCCAAUUUUUUAAAUAAAUGGGGUAAAAUGUAAUUUGACUUUUAAUAUAAAAAUCUCCAUGGUAUGUUUACCUUGAAAUUAUCAAUAAAAACUAAUAAAUAUAAAAUGAAACAGUUAAUAAUAUAUCAAAUAUCCACGAGGUGAUAGGUGAUUUUAAAAUUUAACAUUUACAACUUAAUGGGCUAGUGACAAGGCCAAGCAAACCAUUAGUGGAUUGGUAACAAAUUUGGUAAUAUUUCAACGAUCCAAUUGUUUAAUAUAUCGAUAUAACUGUAUUUGGUAUGCAUGUAAAUUUUUGAACCGAUCCGAUAUUUCUGACAUAUUGAUCCAAAAUAUUGUAUAUAUUGAACUAUUAAAAGUUUUUUAUAUAAAAUAAAUAGUUAGUUUUUUUUUUAAUUUACAUCAAAUUUGACAUGCAUAAUCUAUUUGAAUAGAAUAUGAAAUAUGACAAUUGAAUCAUUAAAAUAUGGGUAAACUACACCCAUGGUCACUUUUGUUUACCUUAGGUUACAUUUCAGUCACUUAUGUUUGAAAUGUUACAUUUUAGUCACUUACGUUAUCGUGUUGUAACAUUUUAGUCACUGAGCCGUUAAUUGCCGUUAAUGGUGUAAUGGUAAGCUGACGUGGCACGUUAAAUCAUCAUUUCAAACAAAAACUUUAGGUUAAAUUAUAAAAAAAAUUAAAUUACUAAAAACGAAAAAAAUAUGGGGAUCAAUUAUAUAAUUUAACCUAAAAUUUUGUUUGAAAUGAUGAUUUAACGUGCCACGUCAGCUUACCGUUACACCAUUAACGACGAUUAAUGGCUCAGUGACUAAAAUGUUACAACUUGAUAACGUAAAUGACUAAAACGUAACAUUUCAAACAUAAGUGACUUAAACGUAACCUAAAGUAAACAAAAGUGACCAUGAGUGUAGUUUACCCUUAAAAUAUUAAUCGUAUAAAAAAAUAAAAUACAUAUUUUAAAUUUAAUAUAAAAAUGUUUAAAAAACACUAAAAUAAAUUAAUAAAAUUCUCAAUGACUUUUGGGUUUAAAUCACAAUUAUCGAAACAGGACAAAUCGAAAAUUAAUUAAUGUAUAAAUUUGGAAUAAGAGGAUUAAUUAUCUCACAAAUUGGUUAAAUCAACCAAUCAGAUAAUUUUUUUCAUUUUUAAAUUUUUUAAUAAUUUAUUUAAUUAAAUUAAUCAAAUCAAUCAAAUCGGAAUUAGAAUCUAAUUCUAAACACUUUGCUUUGUUAUGUCAAAGCUAUAUGUUUUUUUUACACCUUAUUUAUUCUGCAAAUUAUUGUCCGCACAUGUCAACUCUUUAUCAGCUUUUAAUGACGUGUACGGUAUAGAUAGCCUAUCUUCAAUUUUUUUUAUUUGCCAAAUUCUUUUAUUAUUCCUUGUAUUAUAAUUAGUUUGUGAAUUUAAUCUCUAUAUUAAAAUAAAAUGUCAAUUUUAGUCCUUAUACUUUUUAGCAUUUAAAAUUUUAAUCCUCCACAAAGAGUAGUAAUUAAAUAUGUUUGUUAAUUUAUGUCGUUAAUCUUGUACACAGUAUAAAGUUAUUCCACGUUCUCUAAUUUGAUCAUUCAUAAUCCUUAUAUUUUUUGAAUUUUUAAAUUUUAACAAGCUGAUAUAAUAUUACAUAUAUGAUAAUAUUUUUGACGUAUAAGAUUUUGAAAAUAAUAAAACUACUUAAUGAAUUUAAUGAUUAUCGUUUAUAUCAAUAUUGAAAUUUUAAAAUUAGAAAAAUAUACGGACUAAAAUGAUUAAAUUAAAGUACAUAGACUAAAUUUACAACUUGCCCAUUGCAUAAGUACUAAUAGCAGGAUUUAACCUAUUUUUACAUUUAAAUAUGUAAAAAUAUCACCCAUCCACUGCCUUCCAACAGAGAAGAUAAGUUUUUUUUUUUUAGCAAUAAAAGAAAUAAUAAUUACCUGAUAAAUUAUUUUAUGGAAAUUUUUCACCAUAUCUUCCAUGAUCCCGUCCAAGUAGACGAUGACACAUCAUCGUUUUUUUCCACAUCAUAUGUACAUUUAAACUAAACUUCUAAAUCAAAGAUGACAUGUCUUGUUUUAAUUGGUAGAAACUGUGGAUGGUCGGGUGGAAAAUGCCCAUAAAAUAAUUUCUCAUUAUUACCUUGUCUUCGAACACAAACACACAAGCAUUAGCAAACAGAUUUCGCCCAUCCGCUACCUCCCAAUAGACAAGAUAGGUUAUUUUUAAUUAACUCAAUUUUUUUGAUUAAUUACGAAAAUAAUCAACUUAAAAAUUACGUACGUAAAUGAUUUGAUUUUUACAGUGCUUGUCGAUGCUGCCAGACACAUCGGCGGCACCGGUCUCAUCAUCGACCAAUAAUUGUAUUAUUUUAAACAUUUUCAGUUCAUUCCCUAGCAUAUUUAAAUUUAUAUAAAUUGAGAUAAUUUUUUGAAGGAUAUAUUUGGGUAAUUUAAAUAAGACUUUUAACUUUAUUGUUUCUAAAAAAAUAAAAAGAAUUUAUUUUUGUUAUUCUUAUAUUUUUAAGGGCUAUUUAAAUAUAAUUUUAAAAAUAGAUAUACUUAACACGCAAAUAAAUAAAAAAAUUGAAAAGCAUCAAAUUUGGUGCCGACAUGGUGCACUAAAAAGUUAUUAUUUUCUGGGUAAAUUAUAGCAAUAGUCACUUUUAUUUACCUCAUAUUAUAUUUUAGUUAUUUAUGUUUAAAAUAUUACAUUUUAGUCACUUACAUUAUCAUUUUGUUAUUAAGUGAUCACUCCACCGUUAAACUUCGUUACUUCUCUAACGGUAGUCCUAUGUGACAGUACAAAUUGAUUUUAAAUGCCAACUGGCAACUAUGAUGUCCAAUUGUUGGGACAAAAAUAGGUUUUUAAUUAAAUAAAUUUAAUUUGGACUGCCACGUAGGACCGUCAUUAGGAAGGUAAGAGAGCUUAAUGAUAAAGUGACCAAUUCGUAAUAAAACGAUAAUAUAAGUGACUAAAACGUAAUAUUUUAAACUUAGGUGAAUAAAAUAUAAUCUGAAGCAAAUAAAAGUGACUGGUUUAUAGUUUAUCCAUAAUGUAAUUAUUGGCGGAUGAUCUGGCCGCACCGACAAACAGUACAAAUUGAGUCAUUUUCGUAAUUAUUCACAAAAUUUGGGUUACUUUAAUAAAAACCCGAGAAGAGAACCUCGCCUUUGCUUAAGAUAGACGGGCACUUUCUGACCUUCCCUUCUGUUGGUUUUUCAUCAGCAAGUUUGCCUCUGAUGGGUUGUCGAAUCCACCAAUGUAAACCUACGCCUAACUUGCAAAUUAAGCAGUAUAGGGAGUAGGGUCGAUCCCUCAGAGACUGGGUUUACUGCAAAUUGUUCCUCUCUUGACCAGAUUUUUGUCAGGGCAGUUGUCGUGCCCAAGAAAUUCAGAGGGAUAAAAUCUGAAACCUGAAAUAAAUAAAUAAAAAGCGUAAAAAGUAAAAGUUGAAGACAGAAUAAUAAAAACAGUGAAAUAAAUAUGAAGAAAAAUUAAUUAGAAUAAGCUCAGCUUUAGGCACGAAUUUUCCUCGUCUUUGAACCGAUCCUCGAAAUUGGAUGAACUCCUCUUUUCCAAUAACUAGUUAUAGCUACCAAGGACGCCUCGGGCACCAACUCUUCCUUGUGUAAAUUAGUUAUGGAACAUCCAAUAACUAACCUUUACCAAUCGAACAACCACGAAACAUUCGUGAUUUAGAACUCCGACAGCUUUGCGUUCUAGAAGAGCCUAGCUCGAACCAAUGCCCUCAACCGCGUGGGACAUUUAAAUCCGGUUACUACUUCCCUUGACGGAACCAAAUAGCAAUCUCCACGGGCACGCCACUGUGUUCACAGAAAACCAAAUAGAAACGUUCCUUUCGGAAUUCCAACUGUACGUCUAAUCACACUAAAUCAAACGACGUCUUUUUUUGACUUAGUGCUGGUCUGACUUUAUGAGUUGACAAAAUCAUACUCUUAAUCCAGAGAAGUAAUAAGUACUAGAAUUUUAGGAGUUAAAUGGCUCGGGUUCGUAACUCACGGGUUUUGACGAUGCUAAUUUCGGCCUAAAGCUGAAAAUGGUUUUAGUUGGCUAAGGUUUGGGGCACGUUGGUAUUAGAAUAAUUAAAUAAGAUUGAAUAAAUGAAAAAAAAAAAUGAAAGUGAGUGGUGAAGGUUAUGCAAGGUUGGAAAUUAAUUGCUAACAAAAAACAGGAAAGAAAAGAUUGAAUUGCAAGAGAUAAAAGCUUAAUUUAAAAACGAAAUGAUUAAAAACUUGAUGGAAAAUUUUAUGAAAAGACUUGAUGAAAAACUUUAAAAAGAACUUGCUGCAAAACUUGAUAAAAAAACUUGGUAAUUAAAAACUUGAUAAAAGAACUAGAUGAAAAAUACUUGAAGAAUGAAAAACACUUAAUGAAAGACUCAAUUGAAAGCUUGAUUCAUGAAUUGAUGAAUUGAUAAACAAUGUAGCCUCUAUUUAUACUAGUAGCUUUACUAAAUUAGGAGCCAACUAGUAUAGAAAAUCAAGGAAAAUAUUCCAUAAUAUAAAAAAUAUCCCAAAAUAAUCUCCCACUAAGUCAACAAUUUCAGCUAAUUAUUCUUGGAAAAAUUCUACUUUGGCCCUCGUUCUUUGCUUCUUUCNNNNNNNNNNNNNNNNNNNNNNNNNNNNNNNNNNNNNNNNNNNNNNNNNNNNNNNNNNNNNNNNNNNNNNNNNNNNNNNNNNNNNNNNNNNNNNNNNNNNNNNNUUAACCAAUUUAAUUACAUAAAAUAUGUAACUUUAGCAUUUAAUCAAAUCCCCCUACUUAGCUUAUUCUAGUCCUCGAGCAUUUUGUAUGUAUCUGCAAAAGGAAAAAUUUUCUCCAAAAUAGGACUUGGCCCUCAUGGUUUGCACAAUUCAACAAUUUAAUCCUAGCACACUAACAUCUCAAAUAACCUAGCCUAAGAAGUAAGUAAAUAUAUUUCAGAAUUUAUUAGAGCUUGAUAGACUUACCUUUCAUUUUAUUAUUUUUUGUGCUUAGGACAUUUUCGAAUUUUUUGACGCGAGACAUGAUGACAACCCAAGCACCAUGUUCCGGUUACUCAAUUCGGAUGUCUCUAAGCGGGUUAUUUCGCCCUACUCAUGAUAACUUGUUAGCGGAGUGAGUGCAAAGAAAUUGGACAGCUACACGAACCUUUUUACGCGAGAUGUGAUGACAACCCAAGCACCAUAUUCCGGUUACUUAGUCCAGUGUACAACCUCAAUUUUCACUCUUAACAUUCGUAUCAGAGGAGUAUUAUUAUUCAUUUUUUCUUUUUUUUCUUUUCUUUUUUUUUUUGAAAGAUAAAAUAGGUAGUCAAGCAAACUCAUAAUUCCCAAAAAUUUCUUACCCACUAAGUCUAGGUUAUUGAAAAGUUGUAUGUGUAAAGAACUAGAUAGCUAAAUAGGUCAAACCAUAAGUGUACCAUCCCAAUUUAUCAAAAGAAAAAUUUUACCUUUCACGAAAAACAUGCAAAAAUAGCGACAACAGAUAAGUAAAUUAGAACCAAUUUAUAUUUCCAUCCCCCCUACUUAUUUUACAUUGUCCCAAUGUAAUUCAAAGAAUAAAAGUAAAGAUAAGUAGGAGAAAGAGAGAAAAAGAAACUCUCCAUGUAUUUCAACGUCGUGGAGGGUGGUCUCGUAGGUAGAGUGGGCCUUGGCUGAAAUAAAAAGAAUUUUGUGGGUUGACAUGUGGAAUUUAAUUUUGUCUUGGAAUGUUUUCCUGUAAAAAUAAAAAUGAAAAUAAAAUAAAAUAGAAAAAAUAAAUAAUAAUAAUAAUAAUAGGAAAAUUUUAAAAAAUUCAAAUUUAUUAGCUAAGCUAUAAACUCGAAAAAUAAAUUAUUAAAAACCAAGAUUACGAGAUUUGGUAAAACAGUCGUGAUAAAUGCACCAAGUAAGUUCCCAGGAAAGAGAGGUGAGCCACAAUGGACAUACUUAAGUACCAAGUCUUUCCCUAGACAGAACUAAUCCUUGACAUGCAUUUUCAUUUUCUAUUUUACCAAAAAUUUUAUUUGCAUAAAGGAAAAGAAAAUUUGGGUUGCCUCCCAACAGCACUUUGUUUAACGUCGUUUAGCUCGACGACCUGUGUUAUUCAAAUUCUUUAUCUUUUUGUAAUAGACUGCAAAGCGGUUGCAUGAUCUUCGAGAAGUCUUUUAUGAAUUGUCUGUAAAAUCCGUACACCGUGAAAUCAUUCAUGAAGACUUCAAUGAUUUUCUCAACAUAAUCGGAAAAUAUGCUCACCAUGCAUUUCUGGAAAGUGGUCGGAGCAUUACAGAGUCCAAACGACAUUCGUCUAUACGUAAACAUUCUGGAAGGGCACGUGAAAGUUGUUUUGUCUUGAUCCUCUGCCUCCCUCAAUGUUUCGAGGAUUUCUUUUUCCUCUUUCGCUUUCUUAUCCUUUGCGAGCCUCUCUGGAAAAAGAGGUGGCAUCAAGAAUGGUUUCUGAAUUUCUGAUUCCGGUCUGACUUUUGGAUCAGAGAUCUGCUUUUCCCGUUCAUUGCCUUACCCAUAACUUUUGUCUGGAACUGUUUCCAGAAUCUUUGCGCUACAAAGAGUUAUUGCACUUACAUUCUGCCUAGGAUUCAGCUCUGUUUGGGAAGGUAAUUUACCUUGAGAUUCCAAACGAUUAACUGCCAUCGAGAGUUUACUAACUUGAUUAGUUAACUCUUAUAUUGAUGCGUCUGUCCUCUUUUGAUAUUUUGCAGCAUUGAAAGCAAGUCUUUCCACAAGAGCGUCUAGAGAUGUGCUUGACUUGGGUUGUUAUUGUGGUGGUUACAAAUGUCUCGGUUGGUAUGAUGGAUUAUAUCGGGGAUUAGCUCCGUAAUUCAAGUUGGGAUGAUCCUUCCACCCGGGAUUGUAAGUGUUGAAGAAAGGAUCAUAACGUCUUUGUGGAGGUUCUGAAAAACCUCCGAUAGCAUCAACAUGUGCCUUUGAAUUUUCGUUAAGGAUUGGGCACAAAUCUGUCGAAUGUUCAGAUAUAGUACAAAUUCCACACGGUUGGGUCCGAUUCUUCUUUUCUGUAAGCAUAGAUUGAACAAUAUUAGUAAGCUUAUCCAAUUUAUCUUCUAAGGAUGAAACGUUUACCCAAUUAACCCGUCUUGUGGGUUCUGAAUCCGGCCGAUACUGUUGAGAAUUUGUCGCCAUGGUGGAUAUUAGUUCUCUUGCCCUUUGAGGAGUCAUAUUGACAAGCGCCCCUCCACUAACAGCGUCAAUCAUCUUCAUUUCCAUAGGGAGCAAACCCUCGUAGAAAUAUUGAAAAAGUGAUUGCACGGUCAAACUGUGUUGAGGACAACUUGCACACAGUUUUUUAUACCGCUCCCAAUAGUCGUAGAGCGAUUUACUCUCCAUUUGGCGAAUUCCCACUAUGUCUCUCCUUAGUUCAGCUACUUGCGAUGUUGGGAAAAAUCUGUCAAGAAAAACACGAGAUAAGUCAUCCCACGUUGUAAUAGAACCAGGGGGUAAGUAAAAUAACCAUUCUUUUGCUGUAUCAACUAAAGAAAAAAGAAAGGCCCGAAGUUUAAUUUUAUCUUCGGUUACUCCCUGUGGUUUCAAGCUUGAGCAGACCAUGUGGAAUUCUCUCAAGUGAGUGUGUGGAUUUUCAUUCUUCAAGCCUUGAAAAGUGAGCAAAAGGUGAAUUAGGACUGACUUUAACUCGAACGAGGUUUUUCCGACUGGAUAGUUGAUGCAUAACGGUGUUUGCUCGUUGGGAGCAGUGGCUAGUUGACGAAUGGUUCGGUUCACCAUCCUUUCUAGUUCACCGAGGUUGUCUUCUGCUUCUUUUAUUUUAGGAAGUGAUUUGGUCUCAGGUUCAACCACUUCAACUUUUUUUCCACGUUGAAUUGCUUCUACACGUUUAAGAACUUCUGUCUCUUUACGUCGUGCUCGUGCUGAUUUUUUGAUCUCUGGGUCGUAUUCGAGAUCUCCGGAGGAAGAUCUGGUCAUGAAAAUAAUCUAAACAAUUGUAAGUGUUGCCAGUCCCCGGCAACGGUGCCAAAACUGAUGGGUUGUCGAAUCCACCAAUAUAAACCUACGCCUAACUUACAAAUUAAACAGUAUAGGGAGUAGGGUCUAUCCCUCAGAGACUGGGUUUACUGCAAAUUAUUCCUCUCUUGACCAGAUUUUUGUCGGGGCAGUUGUCGUGCCCAAGAAAUUCGGGGGGAUAAAAUUUGAAACCUGAAAUAAAUAAAUAAAAGCGUAAAAAGUAAAAGUUGAAGAUAGAAUAAUAAAAACAGUGAAAUAAAUAUGAAGAAAAAUUAAUUAGAAUAAGCUCAGCUUUAGGCAUGAAUUUUCCUCAUCUUUAAACCGAUCCUCGAAAUUGGAUGAACUCAUCUUUUCCAAUAAGCUAGUUAUAGCUACCAAGGACGCCUCAGACACCAACUCUUCCUUGUGUAAAUUAGUUAUGGAACGUCCAAUAACUAACCCUUACAGGUCGAAUAACCACAAAACGUUCGUGAUUUAGAACUCCGGUAGCUUUGCGUUCUAGAAGAGCCUAGCUCGAACCAAUGCCCUCAACCGCGUGGGACAUUUAAAUCCGGUUACUACUUCCCUUGAUGGAACCAAAUAGCAAUCUCCACUUGGCACACCAAUGUGUUCACAGAAAAACGAUUAGAAACGUUCCUUUCAGAAUUCCAACUGUACGUCUAAUCACACAAAAUCAAACGACAUCUUUUUUUGACUUAGUACUGAUCUGAUUUUGUGAGUUGACAAAAUCAUACUCUUAAUCCGGAGAAGUAAUAAGUACUGGAAUUUUAGGAGUUAAAUGGCUCGGGUUCGUAACUCACGGGUUUUGACAAGGCUAAUUUCGGCCUAAAGCUGAAAAUGGGUUUAGUUGGCUAAGGUUUGGGGCAUGUUGGUAUUGGAAUAAUUAAAUAAGAUUGAAUAAAUGAAAAAAAAUGAAAGUGAGUGGUGAAGGUUAUGCAAGGUUGGAAAUUAAUUGCUGACAAAAAACAGGAAAGAAAAGAUUGAAUUGCAAGAGAUAAAAGCUUAAUUUAAAAACGAAAUGAUUAAAAACUUGAUGGAAAAUUUUAUAAAAAGAUUUGAUGAAAAACUUUAAAAAGAACUUACUGCAAAACUUGAUAAAAAACUUGGUAAUUAAAAACUUGAUAAAAGAACUAGAUGAAAAAUACUUGAAGAAAGAAAAACACUUAAUGAAAGACUUAAUAGAAAGCUUGAUUCAUGAAUUGAUGAAUUGAAAAACAAUGUAGCCUCUAUUUAUACUAGUAGCUUUACUAAAUUAGGAGCCAACUAGUAUAGAAAAUCAAGGAAAAUAUUCUAUAAUAUAAAAAAUAUCCCAAAAUAAUCUCCCACUAAGUCAACAAUUUCAGAUAAUUGUUCUUGGAAAAAUUCUGCUUUGGCCCUCAUUCUUUGCUUCUUUCUUCAAUCUAGCCCAAUUGUUUCAUUUUUCUUCUAUUUAGCCCCAAAUUGCAUUCCUGCACAAAAUUCAAUAAAUAUGGCAAAAUUCGUGGUGCAUUCUCAUAAAUUAACCCAUUUAAUUACAUAAAAUAUGUAACUUUAGCAUUUAAUCAGCCUCUUACCAGAACAUCAAUGGAUGUUAGUGUAAAGAGAUGGAGCAUGAUACGCCCUGCUCAAGAUACUCCUAAAGAAAGGCAAUGGAUUUCAAAUCUGGACUUGGUGAUGCCAACAGACCAUGUCCCUUUACUGUUUUUCUACAAACCUAAUGGCUCAUCUGACUACUCCAAGCCUCAAGUGCUACAGGAGGCUUUAAGCAAGACUCUUGUGCAAUUCUAUCCUAUGGCUGGGAGGUUGGGACGUGAUGAAAAUGGUAGGCUCGAGAUAUUAUGCAACGCAGAGGGUGUUCUGUGGAUAGAAGCUGAAACUACAUCGGCUAUGGAUGAUCUCGACGAUUUUACUCCCUGCUCAAAACUGACGAAACUGGUUCCCAAGGCUGAUUACUUUGGAGAUAUCAGUUCUUAUCCGCUUAUUAUGGCUCAGGUAAGUGAAUGAAGGACUAUUAUCUUAUUAUAGAUGAUAACUGUUACUUGCAGUAGGAGACCAAGGAUAAGAUCUGAGAAAACUCAAACAGCCUGAUACUGAAGUUAAAGCACAAGAAAAACUAAGCUAUCAGCUAAGAAGUUGAUAUAUGGCCUUUUUUUCAAAAAUUGAGUUAAAAAGAAUCGAUUAAUUAUGAAAAUACCCAGGUAUAAAAUCUUAUACGAGAAUGACCCAUUUUCUACGGUAAAAAUUGGUACCGCGAGACUAAUUAGCGGUACCGAUAUUUUUGUAAAAAGUAUUACCAUCAACAAAGUAUCAAUACUUUCUAUUCAUCUUCACAAGAAAGUGCUAAUUACGGAGGUUCAUAGUGGUGGCUUAGUAGUGAAGAAGAUGAAACCAAAACCCUUUUCUCUUCAAUGAACCUUUGGUUUGACUCAUUUGUAAUAAUCAUUUUCGUUCGUCGAAUUUGACUGCAUUUUAAAUGGAAAACUAUAAUAAUCCUCACUGAAGAAAAGCUAAGAACAAGAUUAGUCAAAGCGAACAAGAUUAUUACAAAUGAGUCGGGCAAAAGGUUCAUUGAAGAGAAAAGGGUUUCGGUUUUCUCUUCUUCACUGCUAAGCCACCACCAUGGAACUUUUAGCACUUUCUCGUGAAGCUAAAUGAUACCAUCAACAAAGUAUUGAUCCUUUACCGAUGCCACCAAUGAGUCCAACAACAUUCAAAAUAAAUAUUUUUUUUUAAAAAAACAUGGGGUGGUGCCUUCAAUGGGAAUGGUGGCACCAAAUUUUAAGGUAGAAAAUGGGUCAUUCACGUACAAGAUUUUACACUUGAGUCAUUUUUAUAAUUAACCAAUUUUUUUGGUCAAUUUUGAAAAUAAAAAACUUUAAUACUUUUGUUUCAAAAAGGUCAAUUGUUGUGUGUUUAUUUUGCUAGGUAACUACUCUUAAAUACGGUGGAGUCUGUCUUGGAAUAGCAACUCAUCAUACUUUGACUGAUGGCACAACGGCCUUUCAUUUCAUCAGUAGUUGGUCUGAAAUGGCAAGAGGCUUGCCCCAAAUUAGUAUGCCACCACUUAUUGACCGAACCCUUCUCCGAGCAAGAGUGCCACCAAUCCCUAUAUUUCAUCAUCUCGAAUGUAACCCACCUCCUUUCUUAAACACCUCUACGUCACUAGGCCCUAAUAACCAUAAACCCUCAACUGUAUCUGUUUUCAAGAUCAUACAAAAUCAACUUAAUACCCUAAAAGCCAAGUCAUGGGAACAUGGAAACAAAACCAAUUGCAGCACCUACACCAUUCUAGCUGCAUACAUAUGACGCUGUGCAACUAAAGCUCGGGGCCUCUCAUAUGACCAAAAAACCAAGUUAGACAUGCCAAUUAAUGGACGUCCCAGACUACAUCCUCCCCUCUCAUCAACGUACGUGGGCAAUGCAACGUUUGCGGGUUCAUUAAUUACUCUAUCUAGAAAUCUCCAAUUAGAACCGUUUGUAAAUACCCUAGAACGAGUUCAUGAAACAUUGAAAAGGAUGAAUAAUGAGUAUCUAAGAUCAGCUCUUGACUACCUAGAAACACUGCCAGAUAUAACAGUUGCCAAGAGAAAACUGGACACUUACCAGUGCCCAAACCUAAAUAUCAACAAAUGGACACGACUGUCUAUAUAUGAUAUAGAUUUUGGAUGGGGUCGACCAAUAUACAUGGGUCCAGCAAAUGUUGUCCAUGAAGGAAAAAUAUACAUACUACCAAGUCCAACCGAUGAUGGGAGCUUGUCACUGGUAGCAUGCCUGCAAACUGCUCAUAUGAAACUCUUUGGGAAACAUCUAUACGAAGGCUUGAAGUCAUUUGACAAGAUCAAAGCUCGAUAUUAGUUGUUUGUUCUCUCUAUCAAUAUAUGUAUAAACCUAUAAAUCUUUUACUUCUGUUUCUGUAACUAAGACUUUUUGUUUGGAUCCUGUUUAUUUGAAAUUUACCAUCUGGCCUGGCGGAUAGGUCUUUUGGUAAUUAUUAUACUAUACUUCAAUAAUAGUAGUAGUAUUGAUCACAAAAAAAUAAUAAAGAAAAAUUAGAAUACACAGAUUUUACGUGAAAAAGUCUUAUUAGGAAAAAAAAUCAUGAACAGAGGAGAAAUUCACUAAUGUUUGAAAACAACAAUGCAAGAGGUUUUUUUGACUACACGUUUAAACGGUUAAAUAACAUUUUUAUAAUCAACGUCUAAUAGAAGAUCGCCCCCACAUAUCCCCCAAAUUUGCAAUUCUAUUUUAUUUUUUUAACAAAUAAGUUGCACCUUGAAGUUUUCUGACUGGAUCAAACGAGAUCAAACAACUCUGGCAACACCUCAAAUUAUUUGUCCAUAACCAUAUUAAAUCAAAUACCAAAUAAUUGAAAUAUAUUCAAAAUUUUAAAUUAAAUUAAGUUUGGAUCAAACUCACUGAUGAUAUAUGAUUUACCUAAAGUGAAAUAAGAACCUGAAAAUACCAAAUUUAUGGGUAAAUUUUCGUUUUGGUCACUUAAUUAAAAAAUUAUAAUUUGGUUAUUGAACUAUUCAAAAGUUUUCUUUUAAGUCAUUGGAUUGUUAAAAUUGAUGUUAUAUGACUCUCUGUUUGCAGUGCAUGCAUCAAUUGAAAGCUCUCUUUUUCCUUCACUUCUACAGUUCAUUUUCUAUUUUUAUGUAACAACUUUGGACGUCACAAAUCUGCAAACUAAAAUUCAAACAUUUUUUGCUUUGAUUUCCAACAUUGACCAUCAAAUCAAUUUAGAUCUAAGGUAUGUUUUUCUACACAUUAAUGGGUACCGAUCCAUCGUAUCUAUUGUUGAAUCCUUACAUGGAGCUCGUUAGUGGAACUUAAAAAACAACUUAACAGCCUAGUGAUUUAAAUGAAAAUUUUCGUAUUUAGUGACCAAACCAAAAACUUUCCCAUAAUUUAAUGACUAAUGGUGUAGUUUAUGCACUUCCUCUUGCCCCAAUUGAAGUUUUUGGUACUCCCAAACACUAGUAAAAAAGUUUUAAUAGUAUAAAUGUAUGAAAUUUUUAAUAGAAAGUACCAUUUUACUUUUUGAUCUAUAUAGAGAUACUGAUUUGUCAAUUUUUUAAAUAAAUGGGACAAAAUGCAAUUUGACAUCUAAUAUAAAAAUCUCCACGACGUGAUAAGUGCUUUCGAAACUGGAUUAGAUCAAAUCGAAAAUUAAUUAAUGUAUCAGUUUGAAAUAAGGGGAUUAAUUAUCUCACAAAUUGGUUAAAUCGACCAAUCAGACCACUGUUUUUCAAUUUUCAAUUUUGUAAUAAUUUAUUUAAUUAAAUUAAUCAAAUCAAUCAAAUCGGAAUUAGAAUCUAAUUCUAAACACUUUGCUUUGUUAUGUCAAAGCCACUUGUUUUUUUUACACCUGAUUUAGUCUACCAAUUACUGUCCACGCGUGUCAACUCUUUAUCAUCUUUUAAUGACGUGUACGGUAUAGAUAGCUUGUCUUCAAUUUUUUUAUUUGCCAAAUUCAGUUAUUAGUCCCUGUAUUAUAAGUAGUUUGAAAAUUUAAUCUCUAUAUUAAAAAAAUAGUCAAUUUCAGUCCUUAUAUUUUUUAGCAUUUAAAAUUUUAAUCCUCCACAAAGAGUAGUGUAACACCCCUUACCCGUAUCCAACACCGGAAUAGGGUACGAGGCAAUACCAGAACACAUACACUUGUAAACAUAUUUAACCGAGUUAUAAAAUUUCAUCUAAAUUAAAACUUUCAAAAUUAUUAACAUGCUUUUAUAACUCUUCACAAUAUAUCCUCAAAAUAUUAUAAUCUUAAUAAAUAGAGUCUACGAGACCCGAUACAUACUCAUACAAUUCAAUGCUUCAUUUCCAUUUCAUUCAAUUCGUAAUUUCUCAUGCUCACAAUUUAGAUCAUAUCACCAGCAAUUUCCAUUUAAUUCAUGUACAAUUCAAUGUCACUAAGUUUAACACUAAUACGUAUUUACCAUUUAACUCAACGUUUAUCGGUUAUACCAUUCAUUAACACAUUUAUGAAAUUCUCAAUUUUGCAAUGAAGAUAUCACUUUAGCUUAAAUAACAACAUCAUCCUGGUAUAAAUACACUACCACUUAUCCAUUUGCUUUAAUUCUUUUGGGCCCAUUUGUCACUUACCAUCCUUAAUCAAAUUAGGGAAUGGUUACAGAAAAUUGAGUACUUCACUUCCACUUUGCCAUAGUAUAACUGUGGUCUUACUUAUGAUCAGUUAUCACUUGUCCCUGAUCAGAUAAGUGUAGCUAGGCUACCACUUAUCACUUUGUCACUUGAUCAGAUAAGUGUAGCUAAAGCUACCACUUUUCACUUUGUCACCACUUAUCACUUGUUCCUGAUCAAAUAAGUGUAGCUAGGCUACCACUUAUCACUUUGUCACUUGAUUAGAUAAGCGUAGCGAAAGCUACCACUUAUCACUUUGUCACCAUUUAUCACUUGUUCCUGAUCAGAUAAGUGUAGUUAAAGCUACCACUUAUCAUUUUGUCACUUGAUCAGAUAAGUGUAGUUAAAGCUACCACUUAUCACUUUGUCACUUGAUCAGAUAAUUGUAGCUAGGCUAUCACUUAUCACUUUGUCACUUAAUCAGAAGUACUCAAACCCGGCGUUCCGCUCAAUUUGAUCAUUUAUUCAGUUUUCGCAUUUUUAUUUUAUUCUCAUUUCAUCAAUAAAUAUAUAUUUCAUCAUACAUUAUAUAAUUCAUGAAAUUAACAUUUAAUCAUUAAAUUUCAAUCAUAUGAACUUACCAGGCUAAUUUGCAGAAAUACCAAGAUACAAGGGCAUUUUGAUAAUUUUCCAUUUUCUCAAUUUUCUACCCGAUAUUGAUCUAAAUUAAUUUUUCAUUUAAUAAAACAACUCAUUUCAUGCAAUUUGGUCAUUUUUUACAUUUUUCCAAAAUUACCCCUAAAGUUUUACUUUUAUUCAAUUUAGUCCUCGAGCCCAAAUCAUGCAAAUUAACCAUUUUAAAUGCAAAUCCAUGCUAGCAUAAUAUUCAUAAAUUUAUUUUCCUCCUCCUCCUCUCCAUUCCACAUCCUUAAUUUACAAACAUGCUUAUAAGUAACAUUAUCUAUAAUUUCACUAUUUUCUUGUAAAUUUAUUCAAAGCUGUCCAUUUGAGUCAUAGUCGCUAAAUCAUUUAUAUCUUGAGCUACAGAAAUCCAAAUUAAGAUCCGUUAAUUUUUCCUGAAACUAGACUCACAUAUCUUCUUCCCAUAAAAUUUUCAGAAUUUUUGGUUCAGCCAAAUAGUACAGUUUAUUCUUUAAAGUUUCCCCUAUUUUGCUGUCUGACAGUUCUGACCACUCUACACUAAAAAUGAAUUAUCUAAUUGUACAGAAUUUGGAUGAUGUUUUAGUUUAUUUAAUUUGAAAAUAUAUUCAUUAAGGAUUCUAAUCAUAUAAAUUAUAACUCAUAAUUAUUUUUCUUCAAUUUUUGAUGAUUUUCCAAAGUCAGAACAGGGGAACCCGAAAUCAUUCUGACAUUGUCUCACAAAAUUUAUUAUAUCGCAUGAUUUACAAUUAUAUUGCUUACACCAUUUCUUCUAUGAGAAACUAGGCUCAAUAAGCUUUAAUUUCAUAUUUUAUUUAUCUUCUAAUUAAAUUCCCACAAUUUUUGGUGAUUUUUCAAAGUUAACCUACUGCUGCUGUCCAAACUGUUUUAGUGCAAAAUAUCGAUUAUUAAGUUUAUAACACUCUUAUUUUCUUUCUCUACACUAUUUCUCUCUUCACUAACAUACCAAGAACAUAAAAUCUUAUAUAAUAAAACUCUACAUUAACAUCAAUUUCAUACCUUUUCAAUAAUAUCAAACUAAAAAAUAUAUUGAAAUCUUGAUGUUCUUACCUUGCUUAAUUGAUUUCAAUCUUUAACUUGAUAUUCUCUCUCCUCCAGCUUCUAUUUCUUGAAUCUAACUUGAUAUUCUAGCUCCCCAUAGUCUCCUUGUUAUCUUUCUCUCUUGAUGGAUAUGGAAAUUCUUUUGAUUUCUAAGUGAAAAUGGUAAAUUUUUGGUAAAAGGACUAAAUUAUAAAGAAAAGAAAGUUUCUUUCUUUCUUUCCUCUUCAUACGUUGGUUGCAUGGGGAAGAAGAUGAUAAUUCCUCAUGUUUCCUUUUAUAUAUAUACUAAAUAGAAUAAUAAUAAAUUAAUAAAAUAUCAUUUAAAAAUCAUAUUAAAAUAUUAAUAAACUAAUAUUUAUUUAAUUAAUUAAUCUAAAAUAUCACCAACAUCAUCAUUGCCUUCUAGAUUUCUCUCUCUUCUAAUUGGCCAUUUUUCCCUUCAUAAUCUUUUAAAAUUCCAUCAUUGAGUCACACUUAAUUUGGUAAAAUUACGAUUUAGUCCCUCAUAAUUCUUAUUUUAUUCAAUUUGGUCCUAAUUCAUCCAUUUUCCUUAGUUUCUAGAUCAUUCCACCCUUAAAAUAUUUACAUCUUUGGUCCUUCAACUUUUUCAUAUUUACACUUUAACCCCUCAAAUUUUGAGUAUUUACUCUUGGGCAACAAUACUUUUCUCACUUUUGCGAUUUAAUCCUUCCUUGCAUUAAUAUGUCAUAAUAUACUUCUCAAUGUUGACAUAUCUCAAAAUUUCCCUUUUUUUUUUUUUACUUUAUUUCCUUAUUUUACUUUACCAAGAAUAAUAUCUUACUGUAGAAAUUUUCAAAAUAUUACAUUUGUGGUCCCGAAACCACUAUUUCGACUAGGCCCAAAUUCGGGCUAUUACAAGUAGUAAUUAAAUAUGUUUGUUAAUUUAUGUCGUUAAUCUUUUACACAGUAUAAAGUUAUUCCACGUUCUUUAAUUUGAUCAUUCAUAAUCCUUAUAUUUUUUGAAUUUUUAAAUUUUAAUAAGCUGACAUAAUAUUACAUAUAUGAUAAUAUUUUUGACGUAUAAGAUUUUGAAAAUAAUAAAACUUAAUGAAUUUAAUGGUUAUCGUUUAGAUCAAGAUUGGAAUUUCAAAAUUAGAAAAAUAUACGGACUAAAAUGAUUAAAUUAAAGUACAUAGACUAAAUUUACAACUUUCCCAUUGCAUAAGUACUAAUAGCAGGAUUUAACCUAUUUUUACAUUUAAAUAUGUAAAAAUAUCACCCAUCCACUACCUCCCAACAGAGAAGAUAAGCUUUUUUUUAGCAAUAAAAGAAAUAAUAAUUACCUGAUAAAUUAUUUUAUGGACAUUUUUCACCAUAUCUUCCAUGAUCCCGUCCAAUUAGAAGAUGCCACAUCAUCUUUUUUUCCACAUCAUAUGUACAUUCAGACUAAACUUCCAAAUCAAAGAUGACGUGUCUUGUUUUAAUUGGUAGAAACUAUGGAUGGUCGGGUGGAAAAUGUCCAUAAAAUAAUUUCUCAUUAUUACCUUGUCUUCGAACACAAAAACACAAACAUUAGCAAACAGAUUUUGCCCAUCCGCUACCUCCCAAUAGACAAGAUAGGUUAUUUUUAAUUAACUCAAUUUUUUUGAUUAAUUACGAAAAUAAUCAACUUAAAAAUUACGUACGUAAAUGAUUGAUUUUUACAGUGCUUGUCGAUGCUGCCAGACACAUCGGCAGCACCGGUCUCAUCAUCGACCAAUAAUUGUAUUAUUUUAAACAUUUUCAGUUCAUUCCCUAGCAUAUUUAAAUUUAUAUAAAUUGAGAUAAUUUUUUGAAGGAUAUAUUUGGGUAAUUUAAAUAAGACUUUUAACUUUAUUGUUUCUAAAAAAAUAAAAAGAAUUUAUUUUUGUUAUUCUUAUAUUUUUAAGGGCUAUUUAAAUAUAAUUUUAAAAAUAGAUAUACUUAACACGCAAAUAAAUAAAAAAUUGAAAAGCAUCAAAUUUGGUGCCGACAUGGUGCACUAAAAAGUUAUUAUUUUCUGGGUAAAUUACAGCAAUAGUCACUUUUAUUUACCUCAUAUUAUAUUUUAGUUAUUUAUAUUUAAAAUAUUACAUUUUAGUCACUUACAUUAUUAUUUUGUUAUUAAGUGGUCACUCCACCGUCAAACUUCGUUACUUCUCUAACGGUAGUCCUACGUGACAGUACAAAUUGAUUUUAAAUGCCAACUGGCAACUACGAUGUCCAAUUGUUGGGACAAAAAAAGGUUUUUAAUUAAAUAAAUUUAAUUUGAACUGCCACGUAGGACCGUCAUUAGGGAGGUAAGAGAGUUUAAUGAUAAAGUGACCAAUUCGUAAUAAAACGAUAAUAUAAGUGACUAAGACAUAAUAUUUUAAACUUAGGUGAAUAAAAUAUAAUCUGAAGCAAAUAAAAAUGACUGAUUUAUAGUUUACCCAUAAUGUAGUUAUUGGCGGAUGACCCGGCCGCACCAACAAACAGCAGAAAUAGAGUCAUUUUCGUAAUUAUUCACAAAAUUUGGGUUACUUUUGUAAAAAAAACCCGAGAAGAGAACCUCGCCCUUGCUUAAGAUAGACGGACACUUUCUGACUUUCCCUUCUGUCAGUUUUUCAUCAACAGCUUUGCCUCUUACCAAAACAUCAAUGGAUGUUAGUGUAAAGAGAUGGAGCAUGAUACGCCCUGCUCAAGAUACUCCUAAAGAAAGGCAAUGGAUUUCAAAUCUGGACUUGGUGAUGCCAACAGACCAUGUCCCUUUACUGUUUUUCUACAAACCUAAUGGCUCCUCUGACUUCUUCAAGCCUCAAGUGCUACAGGAGGCUUUAAGCAAGACUCUUGUGCAAUUCUAUCCUAUGGCUGGGAGGUUGGGACGUGAUGAAAAUGGUAGGCUCGAGAUAUUAUGCAACGCAGAGGGUGUUCUGUGGAUAGAAGCUGAAACUACAUCGGCCAUGGAUGAUCUCGACGGUUUUACUCCCUGCUCAAAACUGAGGAAACUGGUUCCCACGGCUGAUUACUCUGGAGAUAUCAGUUCUUAUCCGCUUAUUAUGGCUCAGGUAAGUGAAAGAAGAACUAUUAUCUUAUUAUAGAUGAUAAGUGUUACUUGCAGUAGGAGACCAAGGAUAAGCUCUGAGAAAACUCAAACAGCCUGAUACUGAAGUUAAAGCACAAGAAAAACUAAGCUAUCAGCUAAGAAGUUGAUAUAUGGCCUUUUUUUUUUUUCUUUCAAAACUUGACUUAAAAAGAAUCGAUUAAUUAUGAAAAUACCCAGGUAUAAGAUCUUAUACGAGGAUGACCCGUUUUCUACGGUAAAAAUUGGUACCGCUAGACUAAUUAGCGGUACCGAUAUUUUUGUAAAAAGUAUUACCAUCAACAAAGUAUCGAUACUUUCCAUUCAUCUUCACAAGAAAGUGCUAAUUACGGAGGUCCAUGGUGGUGGCUUAGUAGCGAGGAAGAUGAAACCAAAACCCUUUCUUUUCAAUGAACCUUUGGUUUGACUCAUUUGUAAUAAUCAUUUUCGUUCGUCGAAUUUGACUGCAUUUUAAAUGGAAAACUGUAAUAAUCCUCACUGAAGAAAAGCUAAGAACAAGAUUAGUCAAAGCGAACAAGGUUAUUACAAAUGAGUCGGGCAAGAGGUUCAUUGAAGAGAAAAGGGUUUCGGUUUUAUCUUCUUUACUGCUAGGCCACCACCAUGGAACUUUUAGCACUUUCUCGUGAAGCUAAAUGAUACCAUCCACAAAGUAUUGAUCCUUUAUCGAUGCCACCAAUGAGUCCAACAACAUUCAAAAUAAAUAUUUUUUAAAAAAAACAUAGGGUGGUGCCUUCAAUGGGAAUGGUGGCACCAAAUUUUAAGGUAGAAAAUGGGUCAUUCUCGUACAAGAUUUUACACUUGAGUCAUUUUUAUAAUUAACCAAUUUUUUUGGUCAAUUUUGAAAAUAAAAAACUUUAAUAUUUUUGUUUCAAAAAGGUCAAUUGUUGUGUGUAUAUUUUGCUAGGUAACUACUCUUAAAUGCGGUGGAGUCUGUCUUGGAAUAGCAACUCAUCAUACUUUGACUGAUGGCACAACGGCCUUUCAUUUCAUCAGUAGUUGGUCUGAAAUGGCAAGAGGCUUGCCCCAAAUUAGCAUGCCACCACUUAUUGACCGAACCCUUCUCCGAGCAAGAGUGCCACCAAUCCCUAGAUUUCAUCAUCUCGAAUGUGACCCACCUCCUUCCUUAAACACCUCUACGUCACUUGGCCCUAAUAACCAUAAACCCUCAACUGUAUCUGUUUUCAAGAUCACACAAAAUCAACUUAAUACCCUAAAAGCCAAGUCAUGGGAACAUGGAAACAAAACCAAUUACAGCACCAACACCAUUCUAGCUGCAUACAUAUGGCGCUGUGCAACUAAAGCUCGGGGCCUCUCAUAUGACCAACCAACCAAGUUAGACAUGCCAA
RNAcentral lists this long non-coding RNA (45161 nucleotides) under Gossypium raimondii (Peruvian cotton). RNAcentral describes it as "long non-coding RNA (GRAI_LNC008746)". Lineage: Eukaryota; Viridiplantae; Streptophyta; Magnoliopsida; Malvales; Malvaceae. The record is from RNAcentral.